Non-coding RNA from Podarcis lilfordi (Lilford's wall lizard), 71120 nucleotides. The record is from the annotation of a GenBank genome assembly. Lineage: Eukaryota; Metazoa; Chordata; Lepidosauria; Squamata; Lacertidae.
CCCAGAACUGGACACAGUAUUCCAGGUGUGGUCUGACUAAGGCAGAAUAGAGUGGAACUAUGACUUCCUUUAGGGACGCAGGUGACGCUGUGGGUUAAACCACAGAGCCUUGGACUUGCUGAUCAGAAGGUCAGCGGUUCGAAUCCCUGUGACGGGGUGAGCUCCUGUUGCUCAGUCCCUGCUCCUGCCCAGCUAGCAGUUCGAAGGCACAUCAAAGUGCAAGUAGAUAAAUAGGUACUGCUCCGGCGGGAAGGUAAACGGUGUUUCCAUGCGCUGCUCUGGUUCGCCAGAAGCAGCUGAGUCCUGCUGGCCACAUGACCCGGAAGCUGUACGCCAGAUCCCUCAGCCAAUAAAGUGAGAUGAGCGCCACAACCCCAGAGUCAGCCACGACUGGACCUAAUGGUCAGGGGUCCCUUUAGCUUUAUGACUUCCCUUGAUCUGGACACUAGACUUCUGUGGAUGCAGCCUAGAAUAGCAUUAGCUUUUUUUGCUGCUGCCUCACACUGUUGACUCGUGUGAAGCUUGUGGUCCACCAAGACCCAGAGAUCCUUUUAAAAUGUACUGCCAGUAAGCCAGGUGUCCCCCAUCCUAUAUUGGUGCAGGUGGUCCUUGACCCUGAAGCCCAGGUGUCCUCUUGGCAGCUGUUCCAUUUGCUCACAGGUGAUGGUGUCCUCUUGUUGUUGGUCAGAGGUCCAAGCGCUCUUUGAGUUAAACUGUGGAACUCCCUCCCACAGGGCAGCUUUAAAAGCAGAUGAGACGAAUUCAUGGGUAGCAACUGGAUUAUGGCUGCAGCUGCUGAGCUCCUUCCCCACAGGCCUCCUUUUUUGGGGUGGGGGUCCUGAGAAGGGGUGCGUUGCAGCUGCCAACCCCACAAGCAUGUGAAGAAAGCCAACCCUCUCACCUUGGCCCAAGGGGACUCUGCAGGGAGGCCUGGCCAGGGUGUUCCCAGGGGGGUCUUCUUCCUGGGCAUCUCCCCCCCCCCCCGCCAACAACCUCCCACUUAGCACUGACAUUUCCAGCUGCUGGAAUCUGGCCUUGACCAGAGAAAAUGAAUUUCAUGGGAUGAGGAAGAUUCUGAAAGGCUCCUCCAACCUUGUUGGUGCUUUGGUCCCCGUUGCCAUGGCGAUCUGAGUCACAUCCCACUCUUGCUGUGCUCUUCACCUAGGAUGGGUGGGGUGUUUUUCCCCCCAGAUGGGGGGGGGGGUGGAGUGCCCUGUGAUUGUCUCUCCCUCUCCCUUCAGUCAUUUCUCCAUCUUCUGUUCACAAAAGGAGAAGAGGGAGGGAGGGAGUGGCUGCAAGUGAUACGCCCCCCCACCUCUUGGAAUAAAGAAAAUGCCCCCCCCCAUGUGGCAGAGGGGAGCAUUUUAAUGUUUUAAUGUAUUUUAAUCUUGUUUUUUAAGUUGUAUUUCAAUCAAUUUGUUUUUAUAUCAGUUGUUAGCCGCCCUGAGCCCGGUCUUGGCUGGGGAGGGCAGGGUAUAAAUAAAAUUUAUUAUUAUUAUUUAUUAUGAUUAUUAUUAUUAUUGGCAUGGGCUGCAGCCUGGCCUUGGCAUAUCCUUGGCUCUGCCCUCCCCCUGAAACCAGGAAGACUGGAAGGCCUGGAGGUUUUGAAGCAGAGCUUUGCUUUAGUUGUGAUUCCUGCACCCCAGAGGGUUGGACUAGAUGACUUUUGGGGGGCCCCCUGGCUCAACUCUACAAUUCUGUGACUCUGAGCCACCCCUGCGUUUGCUCUGCGCUUCCCCUUCCUGCGGGGGGAAAGCGCUUGUUCAGUUUCAUUAAACUUAAUUGUUUUCUCAUUACUCUACCAAUUUGCCUGCGAGCGCAACAUGCUCCGGCUCUCCUUUGCCGCAGGUGGGGGGGGGCACAAGCCCCUUUGGGGCGGGAGAGGAGGGGGGCCUGGGCGGAUGAGAACCGGGGGGGGGGGUAAAGCAGAGCAGUCAGGGGCUGCCUCCUCCAAGCUGCCAGGCCAGACCCAACCAUCCUGGGCAGCCGGGGGUCUUAAAGGACAGCCUCUUGCCGGCUGGAGGGGGAAUCUCUGGGGUCUCCUGCCUCAACCAAUGGGAGGCCUUGGGCUCAGGAACCCCAGGUGACGUUCCACCAACUUGGGUGUGUGAUAAGAAUUUUAAGGCAGGCAGAGGGCCUUCUCGGUGGUGGCGCCCACCCUGUGGAACGCCCUCCCACCAGAUGUCAAAAAGAACAACAACUAACAGACUUUUAGAAGACAUCUGAAAGCAGCCCUGUUUAGGGAAGCUUUUAAUGUUUAAUAGACUACAGUGGUACCUCGGAUUAGGAACUUAAUUCAUUCUGGAGGUCUUUUCUUAAGCUGAAACUGUUCUUAACCUGAAGCACCACUUUAGCUAAUGGGGCCUCCUGCUGCCGCCGCACCACCAGACACAAUUUCUGUUCUCAUCCUGAAGCAAAGUUCUUAACCUGAGGUACUAUUUCUGGGUUAGUGGAGUCUGUAACCUGAAGCGUAUGUAACCCGAGGUACCACUGUACAUAGAUCAGCACAGGAAGACUGACCUGAAACAAUUUUUGAUUCCCAAACUGAGCAAAUGUUUUCUCUGCAAGGUCAAAGGAAAAUGGAAAAGCCUCCCCAUUGUCUUUUCCUUCCCAAAUCCUGUCUUCAGGGUAUGUCUGUGUUUGAAUAGGGUGUGAGCCUGUGACCUGACUCAGGAACUAAGUAUUUAUCAUUACAAAAGACUGGCCAGGCUCCCCAGGCAAUCCUAUCAAGUGACCAUUAAACAGGUAACCUGGCAGACAGGAGGUAAACAAAGCACUCAGAUUUCUGCUGUAGACUGCCCCUUCUGUGAUGUAGGUAUGAUGUCUCUGGGGGUGGUCUGGGGGCUUGCACACCAUUGUUCUGGGUUCCUCCUCCCUCCUGCGUGUGGUGAGUGAGGACCCUGUUGCAGCAGAUCAAUAAAGAUCAGGCUUACGAGCUGCUUUGCUUCUCAAGAUUCUCUGCUUGGCCUCUGUCAUUUUCUCCUACCAAUGGGGAACCCACGUAAGGACUCUUGGAUACCCCAUAAGGGGGGAAAGGGCAUAUUUUGUUUACAACAGGUGGCUCUAGAAAGAGGAUCAGACCUAUUCUCGGAGGAGGAGAGGUCUAUAGGGGGCGACUAGGCAGGACGGCUCUGCCCUGGCGCCACAGUCAGAGGCAGUAAGCGCUUUGGAAAGCCAGCUGCCAGAAGCUGCAAGAGGGGAGAGUUGCUCUCGGGCUCGGAUCCUGCUUCCCAAAAGAGGCACCUGGUCAGCCUCUGAGAGCAGGAGGCUGGACCAGGUGGGCCAUUGGCUCAAUCCAGCAUCUGGGCUCUUCUGAUGUCCUUAUGGAACUUCCAGCUCCAGAGGCAGUCUAUCUUGGUUCCUAGGCUCUUAAAGGCAUCUGGCCACUUCCAGGACAGGAGGCUGGACCAGACAGCCUCCCUUUGGCCCCAUCCAGCAGCCUUUGCAUAUAUAGAUAUCAUUUUUAUUGAUUUCCCAAAUUUCACCACAAAUUAAGACAAAAUUAAUACACCCCCCUCCCCAAAUUUGGUUUCCUGCACUGUGUUCUUGACAUGUCAAAAGUUUCCUCUCGUUGCUGCUUUAUUUCUGCUCAUGCUCAUUGCAGGGGUUAGACUAGAUGUCCCUGGUGUAGCAGGAACCCCCCCCCCCACCCCAAUCAUUCAGUUUGUACAAACUUCACACACUCACACUCACACACUACAUACGCCACACUUCUGUUAUAAAUUCAUAGAAAAAUCAACCAUACAUCGGAUUUGCACUGUUCCAUUUUUAUUUUACUCCAUAUGACAAGGACUAUCAAAGGGGGGUGGCUUGGUUCUGGUCAGCCAUAAUCCCUUCACCAUGCCAGCACAUCCACAGGAGCCCUGCCCAGUUGCUAUGCCAACCCUGAUGGUCCUAGACAGAAGACCAUCAAGAUCACAAAGAACUUGCAUAUGGGAGUGGAUUCAGCAUGGACUGAAACAAAGGACAAUGAUCAGAUCUUCCCUCUGGGGGCAGGAAACUGCCAACUCCCCUUUGUCUCCUGGAAGUGACUCAUGGGGAGGGGGAAAGGAGGAACCAGCCAGGUGACAGGACACUCAGGUUACCACCACAACUCCUCCCUCAACCCCUCCUUUCUGUGAUGUAGCUGUGAUGUAUCUGAGGGGUGGGCUUGACCUAGAGGAUGGGAAUUUCAAAAGUUUUUAUAAGGUCUUGCACACCAUCUUUCUGGGUCUUUCCUCUCUCCUGCAAGUGAGGGGAACACCCUGUUGCAGCAGUUCAAUAAAGGCCAAGCCUACAGGCUGCUGUUUUGCUCCAAGUUAUCCUGGUUGGUGUCUUUGUUUUUGUCCAAGGGAGCCCUCGGAUUUUCCCGGUAACACUGGGUAGCCCCUUCCGACUCUACAAUCAUUGUUUUCACCAGUAGCUUCUGCCCUCGGGAGCAAAACUGCAGCAGAAAUGGAUUCCUCCUCCCCUCUGCUGGUUUCUGGGAACACUUACAAGAUUCCUCUGGGUAGCGGCACUUCUGCUGGAAGGUCCAAGGCAGGAGGGGGGGUUGGCUUCCCCAGGCCCACUCCUCCAGGGGAUCUCUGCUUCCCGACAAGAACGCAAUCCCACUAUCUGCAGAUCUAUAUUGGCUUCUCUGGGCUCAAAGGCUGAGGAUGGAGCAGCUCCAGACAGGACAAGAUCCAGCAGAGAGAUGGGAAACUCAGUAGGUAGAGCGUGAGACUCUUAAUCACAGGGGUUUGUGCUCUAUGUUUUUUUUUUGGGGGGGGGAGAUUUUUGCAUUUCAGGGGGUUGGACUAGAUGACCCUGGGCUCCGAUUCCAGCGCCACAAUUCUAUGAUUCUAAGACAGAUGAGCUGCAGGCAGUGCCGGGUUUACGUAUAAGCUAAACAAGCUCUAGCUUAGGGCCCCACUCUCUUGGGGGCCCCAAAAAAUUUAAAGGAAAAGAAAACCUGGAUGUUGUGAUAGGAGUUUUAUGGUCUUAGAUAUAUGGUAAUGUCCAUAACCGCACAUACAUAGAUCAACACAGGAAGACCAACCUGGAACCAUUUUGAUUCCUAAACUGACCAAAUGUUUCCUCUGCAAGGUCAAACUGGAAAAUUCUCCCCAUUGUCUCUUUCCUCACAAAUCCUGUCUUAAGGACACAUUUAAGAUAUGAACAGGGUGUGAGCCUGUGACCUGGCCCAGGAAAUAAGUAUUUUACCACUACAAAAGAAUGGCCAGGCUCCCCAGGAAAUCCAAUCAAGUAACUUGCCAGACAGGAGAUAAACUGAGACAGGAGAAAAACAACAUGCAAAUGUUCUGUUGUAGACCGCCUUUUCUGGGAUGUAUCUGAGGGGUGGUCUUAGGUUACACCCCUUCUGUGAUGUAUGCAUAAUGUUUCUGGGGGUGGUCUUGAUCUGUUGUUGUUUAGUCGUUUAGUCAUGUCCGACUCUUCAUGACCCCAUGGACCAGAGCACGCCAGGCACUCCUGUCUUCCAUCUAGAGGAUGGGGAUUUCAAAAGUCUUUAUAAGCCCUUGCACAGCAUUUUUGUGGGUCCUCCUCCUUUCCUGAGUGUGAGGGGAGACCCUGUUGCAACAGAUCAAUAAAGAUCAGGCUUACAAGCUGCUUUGCUUCUCAAUAUUCUCUGGUUGGCCUCUGUUAUUUUCUCCUACCAAUAGGGAACCUAUGUAAGGACUCUAUAUGGGCUCUUGGAUACCCCAUAAGGGAAAAGGGCAAAUUUUUUAUUUACAACGAUGUACAUUUCCAAAAUAUAAGAUAAAAAACAAAUAAAAUGAAAUCUACAUACAGCAACCGUGUUUUGUGUUGUGUCGGCUCCCAUGUUGUAAGUCAUGGGCCCCUCCUGCUUGCCUGCUCCCUCAAAUAUCCCUGGUUUGCUCCUUUCUAUAUAUAGGGUGCUGACAUUCUGCAUGGAGCGGUUGCAGGGCAACAUGGGUAAAUGGCUUGAGAUACCUGUUCGGUCCAUAAAUUAACAUAUAGCAUAUGUUCAACACAAAACAGCAACAAUUUGUUGUUGGCAAAGGACAGCUGGACAUAGAAAGGGCCGCAUUGCCUUCAGGAGCUGAGGGCCUCAUCAAACCUCAAUCCAGCCCUGGCUGCAGCCCAGCUGAUCCCAGAGGACCCUGUGGCAGGGAGUUCCAUAGUUCAACUCUGCACACUUUCUUCCAUCUGUCCUGAGAACCUCCCAGCAUUCAGCUUCCUUUUCGCCCCUGAGUUCUGCUGAGAGGGAGGGAAACCUUUCUCUCUCUCUGCUUUCUCAAGGCCAGGCAGCAUCUAGUUCUGAGAAACUAAUUUUAUGCCGGCCUGCUUCCUAAGCCUCCUCUCUCAGCUGGAUUCCAAAAACCAACAGCUUGUUUCUCUCUCUUCCUCCUGCAGAUUCCUCCUUGACCUCCAGCCGGGGGGGGGGGGGAAGGAAGACUUGCCCCCUCUGUGCCCACCCUUUGCAGAAUAAGUCCCUUCUGCUGCAUGGAGCCCCUUCAGAAGAGACUCUGGAUUUUGAGGUCCUCCUUGCCCCAAGAUCACAUUGGCAAAGGAGAUGCUUCAGAGACGGGGUAUUGACUUAACAAAAGAAAAAGCUCUCACCAUCUUUUAGCAGGUCCUCCUUUUCUCCAGGGCCCCUGAAUCAAGAACCACACGGCUGUAAAGGAUCCCUCAGAACCUCCACAGUCAGAGAUGCUUCCGAAUAGCAGCUGCUGGAAACCACAGGAGGUGAGAGGGCGCUUGCGCUUGGAUCCUGAGGGUUUCCCCGUGAUGGGAAUCUGGCUGGCACUCUUGAGAAGAGGAGCCUGGGUUUCAUGGGGCCCCUCUGGCCUGUUGCAGCACCACCUUCUGAGGCUCCUGUGGAGCCUCCAGGCCCAGAGACAGUCUACAGUGGUACCUUGGUUCUCAAACAUAAUGCAUUCCGGAAGUCCAUUCUAAAGCCAAAGCGUUCCAAAAUCAAGGUGCGCUUUUCCAGGGGAAAGUAAUGCAAAACGGAUCAAUCCAUUCCAGACUUUUAAAAACAACCCCUGAAACAGCAAUUUAACAUGAAUUUGACUAUCUAAUGAGACCAUUGAUCCAUAAAACGAAAGCAACAAACAAUGUACGGCAGUCACACAAUCAAUCAAUCAAUCAAUCAGUCAGCAGCUGAACUGGGUUCCACACAGUCACAAAACAAACCAAACAAAAGAGCUGCGAAAACGCAAAAUAUGCAAAAUAAAUAGCAAAAACAGACAGACCUGAGCAUAACACUCAAAUCAGAGCAUGUUCGGGGAAAAGUUCGCAAACCGGAAGGCUUACUUCUGGGUUUGCAGUGUUUGGGUUCUAAGUUGUUUGAGAAUCAAGGCAUUUGAGAACCAAGGCACCACUGUAUCUGGAUUCCUAGGUUGUCAGUGGCAUUUUAUGGUGCUGGAGGAGACUCUGGAGAGUCCCAUGGACUGCAAGAAGAUCCAACCUCUCCAUCAUUAAGGAAAUCAGCCCUGAGUGCUCACUGGAAGGACAGAUCCUGAAGCUGAGGCUCCAAGACUUUGGCCACCUCAUGAGAAGAGAAGACUCCCUGGAAAAGACCCUGAUGUUGGGGAAGAUGGAGGGCGCAAGGAGAAGGGGACGACAGAGGACGAGAUGGUUGGACAGUGUUCUCGAAGCUACCAGCAUGAGUUUGGCCAAACUGCGGGAGGCAGUGGAAGACAGGAGUGCCUGGCGUGCUCUGGUCCAGGGGGUCACAAAGAGGCGGACACGACUAAACGACUGGAUGUCCUCUUAGGUUCUUGUGGCAGGUGGAGAGGGAAAGGUGCUGCUGAUGAGCUGGUCCUGAAAGGAAGGCUUGGCAGGGGAGGAGAGCUGGAGGAAGAGGCUGGGGAGGGGCAAAGGGGGUGGGCAGCCAAAGAGGCCUACCAGGAGCCCCCAAAGGCAUGGCCAUCAGUCACAGCAAAAAAACCCCAAACCCUCCCCCUUCUCCAGCAUCUCCUGCGGUGAUGAUUGCUAUUCAACUCUGCCUUUAUGAAUGGGUCUGUGCUGGGCAGAGGAGGCCGGUGUGUGUUUAAUCUCCAUUUCCUCAUUGAUUUCUUCUCCUGAUGGCUGGCCGGUUGCUGCCACUUUCCGUGAUGGAUCUGCCCACUUUAGCCAAAUUGCCGCCGCCGCCACCGCCAGACCGGGGGCCUCCUUCCUCCUCUGAUGUGAAGGAUGGGAUCAAUUCUCCAGGUGGAAGAAGGAGAUUGCGCUCCGACCGAGCAUGCCUCUGGCCUCCCUAGGGCAGCAGAGAGAGAGGGGGGCCCUGGGCUCCAUCCUGACCCUUGAGAGAGAUCAUAUUGGGCCUCUAAUGACCAGGCAGACUCACUCCGGUUGUGAGACCCUGGAUCAUCUCAGCCGCCCUCCUCUGCUCAGCUUCCAGCUUGUCAACAUCCUUCUUAAAUUGUGGUGCCCAGAACUGGACAGAGUAUCCCAGGUGUGGCAGCUUCAGGGCCAAGUAAGGAUUUGAACCCAGCUCUCUCCCAGGUCCUAGUCUUCAUUUAAUCCACACAUGCAGGAAUCUCAGCUAAAGCAGCCAUGGCAGGGGGCCCUCCAACCUCUGCUAAGAAACCUCCAUGGAAGGAGAGUCCACUGAGGGGAGGUUUGCUGUGCGAAGCCCUCCAGGCCUGACCCUGCUGGCUGCUGUGCAGGAGAACUGCCCUCCUGCCCUCAAGUCACCGGGGGGGGGCAUUCCUAAUCCUGAGCAUCACAGAGAUGAUGGCCAACAGCCCAGUGCUUCAAUUCCUUAGACUGGAGAUGGGGAACCUCUGUGGUCCUUCAGAGGUUGCUGGAUCCCAGCUCCCAUCUUCCUCCCUGGCCAUUGCCCCCCCCCCCCGGACCUGAAGGGAGCCUGAAGCCCCAAGAACUCUGGGCGGCCCCCCGCCCCCCAGCCCAAGAGCCCCUCUCCUGUUUCCUUGCUGUGUCGCAGAUGGCAAAGGGCUAAUCCAGGUCACUCUUUCCGCCCAAAAUGAGCAUCCUUCAGCUCCUUCAGCUCCCUGCCCUCUGGGGGCAUCUAAAUUGGGGGGGGGGCUUUUUACGCUGCAGCUCCUGCUGCUUCCUCUGCUGAUGGAUUUUGUGUGUUUCAGCCUCCGCUGCUCUGCUUUGUUUGGAUGUUGUCUUCUCACGGUUAAGCUGCUGUGGAUAUUUUUAAACGGAAAGGCUGGAUGGAGGUCUUUUAAGGCAGUGCCGGCUUCACAGCGCUGGCAGAGACGGAACGCAAAAGCCCUGAAUGCAACAGCAGGGGGGGGGGGAGGACCGUAAGGAGAUCCCUGAAGCUGGAUCUGGCCCAUCCAGUCCAGCAUGGGGGAGGGAGGGGUGUGUGGUGGGGGUGACAAAAUGCUGGGCUUCACUCACCGUGGGGCCUGCACAACACCCGAGCCCCACAUCUCUCCUGGGACAGACGUGGUGGCCUGGGCUGCCCAAAUGGUCCCCCUAUGGCCUCCCCCUCACCUGUAGGGCGGCUGAGUGGGAGGAGGCAGGCAGGCUCCGGAGGCCCAUGGAGCAUCCUGCCCUGGCUCGCCCUGCCCCCGUGGGAAGCUGCCCCCGCCUCUGGGCGCAGGGCAUGCGCACUUCCCCAGGCUCCCCAUCGGCUUGCUCCACCGCUUCACCAGAUUCCCCCCAUGGGAAGCCUGGAAGCCCGAGAGCCAGGGGUGUAGCAACGGGGGUGCGGCCCACACCGGGUGUCAUCCUGAAGGGGGGUGACAUUCGGCGUGGCCCACCCCACCCACAACUCCCCCUUCCCCCAGCUUGCUGUAGGCUUGAGAGUCAUGGGGGGGCACCGAAUGUCACCCCCCCUUCAGCAGCCAUGCCGAUUGGCCCCUUGGGUGGAUCGCCCCUGCCCCUGUGGGCAGAUCACCCCUCCCCCGGGUGCACAGCACGUGUGCCGCUCUGGGUGCUGGAGCCCCUAGCUCCGCCACAGCCAAGAGCUGCAGGCUCCACACUUGGGGAGUCCCGUCAGCCGCUAUUCACAGAUCAGGCUCUCCGCAAAAGGAGCAGAGCGUUAUGCAAGAGGGAGAAAACCUUUUCUCUCUCUCCUUUCUUCAUGCUGCCUCUUCCUCACCUUUCUGCUAAACUAAGAAGUCCCAAAGGCUGCAACCAUUCUUCCUAGGGGAGCUGCGCCUUGACAGGGCUGGAGUGUUAGGGGAUGGUCUGAAGACGAGGACUGGGGGACGCCUUCUGUGGCAGACCAGCUUGGGCCCCCCGCCCACAGUGUGUUCAGAAGCAGAGAGACAGAAGCUGAACAGCGGAGGGAGGAGUUGCCCAGUUACGAGAUAAUGACAAGGGAGCCGGAAGGGAGGGGGCAGCUAGUUGAGACGUCAUUUGAGAGUGGGGGGGGACCCCCCUUCACCACGGACUUGGAGGUCCAAAGGAUUCAGAGGGAGGGAGGAACUUCCCAUUGGCGCCUAAAAUGCCACAGAAGUAGGAAGGAAGGUUUAGAGUAGCCAACUGCCCUCCUUUUGGAGAGCUGCGCAUUUGUGCAUGCAGCAUGAUGCUGUAAUAAAAGGACUAUAAAUAUAUCAACUGCUCGUUAAUUCUUAUCUGUGAAGUUACCAAAGGGAGGGGAGGACUUUCCACGCCUAAGCUGGAUGCAGGUCAGCAAGAAAGGAAGCAAAUCUUUGAUGCCGUUGGGUGAAGUUGACUCUUUAUUCAAGGCCCCUCCCCUUCCGGAUGUUUCCCAAGCAGCCUCAAACUGCAUCUGCGCACCUUUUGCCUCUGUUCUGCUCUCCUCAUUAUCCUGCACGUUCUUGGAGACCAGAGGGGAUGGGAGCUUGUCGCAGACGGAGAAGGAGACCUCCCUGGAUUCUUCAGCAGUCUCUGCUUCAGCCUCGGAGUCUCAACCGCUCCCUGUCACAGACUCCUCCUGCUCACUAAGCCCUGUUGCCCCUUCGGCAUCCGGUCCCUCCUCCCAGUCUUCUCCUUCUGACCUUUCCUCAGUGUCCCACCACCAACCCCUGGCUCUGAGCCUUCCUCCUCUGGGGAUUCCCUCUGGGGGUUCCCCGGCUGGCUCCUCUUCCUUCAGCCUGCCCCUGACACCCCACUGCCCCUUUCUGGACCUUUCCCGGCUCUGCAAUAUCCUUUAGGAGGGGAGGCAACCAGAACUGGACACGGUUAUUCCAAAUGGAGUCACAUAAUAGGUCUCUCCAAGGGCAUUAGGACAAUCAGCAGUUUUAUUUUCAAUUCCCUCCCUAGCAUGGAACUGGGCUUUUCCGCAGAUGUUGCAAACGGAGCCCAUGAACUCUCUGCUAUGACCUGGAGGCCUUGCUCCCAGCCAGUCCAGACCCCCAAAUGCAUGCGUGUUAAAUCCAGAUUCUUCCUUCCUCUCUCUCUGGUGUGCAUGGCUUUCCGCUCCCUUGCGUUGAGUUGCAUUUGCCAUUUCCCUGCCCCUUCCCCCCUGGUGGGAAAUGCCUUUCUGGAGCUCCUUCCUUCCUCUUUUCUGCUUUCCUCAGCAAACUUGGCCACCUCACUGCUCAGCCCUCCGUCUCAUUAACAAACAAAUUAGGAAGCCUCAAUCCUGAUCCUCGGGAGACCCUGCUUGGCUCAGCAGCCCCGUCCAGGCUCCUUUGCGGGGACGAAAUCAGCACCAUCAGCAUCUGACCUGGAUUAGCUGCUUAUUAGCAAACUCUUCGUACCGCCUUGGGGUGCAGAUUCAGGCAAGGAGGGGGCUGGAGGGGAGGGGCUCAGAGGUCGCCCCAAGUGGUGUAAACAGAGAAAUCUGAGGGCUCCCUUGGACAAAAAACAAGGACCCCAGCCAGGAAUUACCAGAGCAAAACAGCAGCCAGUCGGCUUGGUCUUGAUUGAAGACUGUUGCGACAGGACUCCCACCUGCCACCAGGUGGAACAAGAUGGAAGCCCCAAACAAAAGAGAACCCAAAGUUUUAUUAGCUGCUAAUCCCCAUGUUACACCCCCCAAACUACAUCAUGGUUACAUCAUGGUUACAUGAUGAAAGGGGAGGUCUGGUGGCUGGAAUCUGAGCAUCCUGGACCCUGCCCCAUGGUUCCCCUUGCCCUCCACCAAACACCCAUCAAGUGUAACAAAUGAGACAUUCACAUUUCCCUGUUUCCCAGCCAAGUGAAUCCCACCCUUUUGUCUUCAUCUGGGUUUGUUAUUUCUGGAAUGGCUCCCUGUCUGGCACUCAGGUAUCAGGAGGCCAGGGAUUAUCCCUCAGACAGAGGGGCUGCUGAGCAGCUGAGCUCACAUGUCUAUAGGAAAUUCUGAAGUUUUCCCAGUGAGCCAGUACACAGGUACAUUUAUCAGUGAAUUCUUACAUUUGAUAUCGUGCAGCAGAGGCCCUUUGAAUGGAUAGGAAGAAACUGUGUUGAAGUGUGUUGUGGGGACAAAUCACAAAAGUCACAAAAAUGAUUGUGCUGUUUUUGGUAGUGGGCUGCAUGUGCAUGACAUCUGCUGGAGGGGCAACCCCCCCCACCUAUACAUAAAUUCCUGCAACAGUGUUUCUCUCCUGCUUCUGCCAUCUUAAUUUUUUCGCCAUCGCUGUCCUAAAUGCCUGAAUGGUCUUUUGAGGUUGUCAUCUGCUGAGCUGAGCUUUCCAUAAGGAAAGGCAGGACAGUUAUCCCACACAAACAUGCUUUUGCACCCAGUGCCAGUGCCUGGUGCUCGUGAGGCUCUCCAGGGGGAGGGAAAUGGCUGCCCCUGGGCGUGGGAAGCCGCUGCCCCCACCCCAAAGAGCAGGUGCCCCACGGAGUGGCAGGGAAGGGGCUGGGCUGGGGACACGGGUGGCCCUCCCUUAUCUUCCUGACUGCUUCCCCACUGGGCAACAGGCCUCUUUAUGUUCUGAUGGAACCUCCAGGUCCAGAGGCAGUCUAUCUGGGUUCCUGGGUUCUUUGGGUUACCUGGCCACUGGAAACAGGAUGCUGAGCUAGAUGGGCCCCCUUUGGCCGGAUCCAGCUUCUAAGCCGGGUGUUCCUAUGAAGCCUCCUGGCUGGUGUCUCUGGCUCUCAGAGGUUCCCAUCUGCUGCUUCCUUUUUUAAAAACCACUCUUCCAACUCGGUAUUUUGGGUCCCACUGGGCCAUUUAGGACCCCUACUUGUAGGUUCUCCUUCUGGCACAUCUUCAGAGCCUCCUGGCUUCCUCCCUACCUCCUUGAUCUUCUCCCGCUGCUUAUUGGGCCUCCAGCAUCUCCUCGGGAGCCGGAUCAAUAAAACAAAAAUAUAGCACACCAUUUACUUAUUUGUUCCUCUUGAGUUUUUACUCAGCACUUUUUUGGUCCCGUCUGAGGCACCUUGCCAAAGAGCUACUGGCAAGGCAGGAGGUGUUGGCCCAGGAAGCAGGGGGGGGGGGCUGGAAAAUGCGUCUUCUCCACUCCCACCCCAAAUAAAAAGCAGCUUAGCUACUUUAAAUCAAGCCUUCCCUUCUUCCCCACAAGGGACCAUUUCUGCAGGAAACUGCGAAUCAGAAACAUGUUAAUUUUAGCAUUACAGGGACCAUGGAAGAGACAGGGAGCUGCAGAAUCACAGAACAUUCGAGUUGGGAGAGAUCCAUCCCCCCCAAGAAACAUCUAGGCCAACCCCCUGCGGUGGGAGCGAUGGACAGAAGAGGGAGCCUCCAGCUCCAGAGGCAGUCUAUUUGAUUCUGUAAUAAAUGGAAAUCUGCCCUUAUUCCCUUAUGGGGGACACAAGAGCCCUUAUAGAGUCCUUUGCAGGUUCUCCAUCGGUCGGAGAAAAAUAACAGAGGCCAAGCAGAGAAUACUGAGAAGCAAAGCAGCUCGUAAGCCUGAUCUUUAUUGAUCUGUUGCAACAGAGUUCCUCACUCACCACACGCAGGAGGCAGGAGGAACCCAGAACCCAGGUGGGACCAUCCUUAUAUAGACAUUUUAAAUUGCCUGCCCUGGAGCUCAAGACCACCCCUUCAUACAUCAUACAUACAUCACAGAAGGGGUGUAACCCAAGACCACCCCCCCACAAACAUCAUACCUGCAUCAUAGAAAGGGCGGUCUACAACAGAAAUCUGAGUACGCUGUUUAUCUCCUGUCUGGCAGGUUACCUGUUAAUGGUCACUUGAUUGGAUUGCCUGGGGAGCCUGGCCAGUCUUUUGUAAUGAUAAAUUCUUAGUUCCUGAGCCAGGUCACAGGCUCACCCCCUAUUCAUAUCUUGAAUGUGCCCUUAAGACAGGAUUUGUGAGGAAAGAGACAAUGGGGAGGUUUCCCACUUUGACCUUGCAGAGAAAUAUUUGAGGUCAAUUUGUUCAGGACCUUUUCUGUGAGGUUUCAGACAUGUGGUUUAUAUAUAAAGAUAUGAACAUUUUUUUUAAUAUGACCUUAAAAUUCUUAUAACACAUGCACUGCUAGGAAGCCAGGUGCCCCCAUCCUAUAUUUGUGCAUCUGGUUCUUCCUGCCUAAGUGCAGAACCUGACAUUUGUCCCUAUGGAAAUUCAUUUUGUUAGCUUGGGUCCAGUGAAAGCAUUUUCUUUUGUUAAGUCAAUAGCCCCCCCCCCCCCGGUCUCUGAAGCAUCUCCUUUGCCAAUGUGAUCUUGGGGCAAGGAGGACCUCAAAAUCCAGAGUCUCUUCUGAAGGGGCUCCAUGCAGCAGAAGGGACUUAUUCUGCAAAGGGUGGGCACAGAGGGGGCAAGUCUUCCUUCCCCCUCCCUGGCUGGAGGUCAAGGAGGAAUCUGCAGGAGGAAGAGAGAGAAACAAGCUGUUGGUUUUUGGAAUCCAGCUGAGAGAGGAGGCUUAGGAAGCAGGCCGGCAUAAAAUUAGUUUCUCAGAACUAGAUGCUGCCUGGCCUUGAGAAAGCAGAGAGAGAGAAAGGUUUCCCUCCCUCUCAGCAGAACUCAGGGGCGAAAAGGAGGCUGAAUGCUGGGAGGUUCUCAGGACAGAUGGAAGAAAGUGUGCAGAGUUGAAAGAAAUAACAGAGGCCAACCAGAGAAUAUUGAGAAGCAAAGCAGCUAGUAAGCCGGAUCUUUAUUAAAGUUGUUGCAACAGGGUCCCCACUCCUCACAUGCAGGAGGGAGGAGGAACCUAGAACAAUGGUGUGCAAGCUCUUAUACAGACAUUUGAAAUUGCACUCCCCCCGUAGCUCAAGACCACCCCGCAAAACAUCAUACAUACAGCACUGAAGGGGCGGUCCACAGCAGAAAUCCUGUUUGCCAUGGUACCUGAUAAUGGUCACUGAUUGCUUUACCUGGGCAGCUUGGCCAUUCUUUUGUGAUGGUUAAUAGUUUAGUUCCUGAGUCCAGGUCACAGGCUCACCUUAUUCAUACACAAUAUCUGCUCUCCCUUCCCCACAGGUGGGCGGGGUUUGCGGCACUCAGCAGGGCUCACCUGGGCGGGUACCACCCACCUGAUUGGGCUGGCCUUUGACCCGCCCUUGGCCAGGGAGGACGAUGGAUGGCCGGCCGGGGGUGGGCCCAAGGCCAAAAGAAAAGAGGAUGACUCCGUUGCUCAAGCCUCUUUGCUGUUCUUCCUUCCAGGAUCAUCCACCCUCCCUCUCUCAAAUGAAUCAUUUCUUGCAUCCAUAAUUUCAUCCUAGGUCAGUGGUCUUCAAAUUAAUGAUUCUUUUCCUUACAGGCUAAUAUUUUGCAUUCCAGUUCAGCUAGUGCUGCUGCGGUCGUAAGAUGGUUACUGUAUUCAGAACCAGGAAGGAAUUUCCCCUGCAUUGGAAGGUUUCGCCUUCCCCGUAGCAUUUCGUCACAACUUUGGCAGUUUUAGGCCUUGGCAAGGUAUCCUGUUCAUACACAGAUACCCCUUGAGACAGGAUUUGUAAGCAAAAAGACAAAGGCUUUCCCCAUUUGCCUCCCUCCUUGCAGAGAAAUAUAUUGAGGUCCAUUUGGGAGAGUCAAAACGGCUUCAGGAUUGCUCUCCUGUACUAUUCCAGACACGUGGUUUAUAUACUUGUGUGUUUGCCUUGUACAUUUAUGAAUGUUAUUUUAUAUUUGGGACCUUCGAAUUCUUAUAACAGCAGGAUGGCUGGAGGCAGAGAUGCUUCUGAGCUGCAGUUCCUGGAAGCCACCAGAGGGGAAAGUGUUGCUCUGGUGCUUGGAUCCUGGCUGCGGGUUUCCCUUUGAGGCCCCUGCUUGGCCACUGUGGGAACAGGAGUUUGGCGCAGGUGGGCUGCAGGCUCUUCUGAUAUCCUUGUGAAUCACGUGGAGCUGGUGGGAGCAGGAUUUGACUGAGUUUUCGCGCCACGUUUUGCUCUGCAUGUGCCAACAUACAAUGUGCCACAAAAAUGCCUCCCUGCUCCCGUGACCAUUCUCAAGGGAGCUGAUACUUGGGGGAUAUCAAGGCUCCAACCUUGACAAAUCAUUUCUGCAAGGAGGAAAAACCGUCCCUCCCUUCUGGGCUGGUGAAAGCCCCUCCCUGCGCCUGCCCCCUUGUCCUGCCCCCCCAGUCCCAGCACUGCCCCCCAGGGCUGCUCAGAAAGGGUGGGAGGAGGCAGGUAAGACCCUGGCCCAGCCGAGAUCAGGUGCUGCUUCAAAUGCAAAUGAGCCUGCAAUUAAAAUAUGCUUUCCGUCCGGCCCUCGAAUCUGUAAUAACCUGUCAGAGCUCAAAAUGAAAUCUUGGACACUUUUGAUACAAAGCAACAUUUCAUUAUUUCACUAAAGGGGUUUUAAUUUCUCCCUAUAAUUGCUCUGCUGAUGCAGCGGAGAAUGCAGGCCCGCAUUUUAAUUCCAACCCCCUCUCUUUGGGUAACCUGAGUUGAUGGGAAAUUGCUUUCAUUUAAUUUAAUUACAGGGCCGGAAUAAUACAUUAAAUAUGUACUGGCUUGGUGUUUGUGCCUACGUUCGAGGCCUGGAAUUAAUGAGCUCUUAACUUUGAGAAAUAUCAGCGGCACAAACACUCCAGCCCGCCUGCCUUGGCUGCAGGGCUGACCACUUGCUCCUGUCCCUCGGGGGGAAAGUGCCUCUCUCAGACUCUCUCGGGACUCAGAACUGCCGUGGCUGCUGGGUCAGCCUUGGAGAGCCCUUCUGGUCCAGCCUCCUGGUCUCACACUGGCCAAAUGCCCCCUUGGACCUCGAAAUCCAGGUAGACUGCUCCUGGACCUGGAGGACGGUUGCCGCCUUUGUUCUGGCAAAAGACAGGAAUACAGGGCAGGGCGGGGCGAGGCAGUUGGGAGGUCAAUUUUUUCUCUCCAUCUGGUGCGGAAGUGACUUCAAAGCAAUCCACUGCAAUCUAUUGCAGCCUCACAGGACGGCCCCUCUGGAAUUUGUCACACACAGACACACACACGCAAAUUUGCAAAUCUGUCUGUGCUGCGCUACCCAGAACUUAAAUGCAUGACGUUACGAAAAUUACAGGGCGGGGGGGGGGCACAUCUUUAAAGUUGUUAAGUGUUACAAAUAUUAUGCGUAAAUGUAUCCUUUCGACUUGACAGCUCAGGGAAGAUACCUAGCUUUAAAAAUCAUAUAAAAUCAACUCCUAUGCCAGUUUCCUUCAUUCCACCGCCAAUUUGCUUCAUUGGCCAAGGACCUGGAAGCCACUUGGUCCGCGCCAUAAUCCCUCAAGCAGGAGGUUAUGUACUCACAGGAAGGUACUUAUAGGUGUCAAUCGCUGGGCAAAGGCACUCCUCCGGACUUGCCCAGGUGGCAGACUAGGCAAAUCAAAGUUCUAUAGUCCCUUUGUAGUAGGUGCUUAGAAUGUACUUCCCAAUACAUAUCUAUAUCCGCCUGUUGCCCCAACACAUUCCUCCUGUGUUAAUCAUGUAUAUCCCUCCCCUUUUCUGAUGUAGCAAUGAUGUAGUGAUGAUGCUUAAUGAACUGUAUGUUGGGAUAAGAUAGAAACUUUUAAAAGUCCUUGUCACCCCAUCCUCAGGGCUCAAAAUUCCUCUUUGAGCCUGUUGCGCAAUAAACUUUGGUCUACAGCUAUUUGCUCUGGUUGGCUGGACUCCUUCCUUUAUUCCGCAGGGACUCGCGGGCUCUGCCCAAGGAGCUGGGGGACUGAGCAGCCUCACACAUAGAUUUUUCCAUAACAAUGAAUUUCCACAUAUGCUUUCAAACACAUGCAUUUGGAAAUGAUCCCUAUCUUAGCAGAGAGAGAGAGGGGGGGGGGGAACCUGAAAUACAGGACAAAACUGUAUCAAUACAGGAUGUAGGAUUUCACAUUGAAGUACAGGACAAUCCUGUGUUUUGCAGGACAAGGGGCUGGUCUAAUCCCGGAGGCUGCUUAAGAACACAAGAAGAAUCUGGUUUUUGGAGCAUCCUGUUCCCCCUGGGGUCAACCAAUGCCCCUUGUGGGAAACCACCAGCCAAGCCAAGCCCAGGAGCCCUUGGGAGGUGGACCAGCUCAGAGCCGCGCUGCUCGCUGCAGAGAUGGCCUUGCUUUGUAAAUAGCUCAUUACCAUCCCUGCAAAGCUUUGCUCGUGCGGCAGUUGCCCCCUCCCUCCUCCAUCGCACAAGCCUGACCCACUUAAUGGCAUCGCUUUGCGGCAAUCGACAACUGGGCCUCUCCUCCUUGCAAUGAGGAACCUCUCUCUCUCUCUCUCACACACACACCGCCAGCCCUUGAUGUGUGGGGGGGGAGCCCACCCUCCACCGAACCAGGGCCGGGGGUCCAGAAUCGAUGCUCAAAGGAGCUGGGCAGGUUUAGCCCGGAGGAGACUUGAGACGUGAUAGCCAUCUUCAAACAUCUCAAGAGCUGUCACGUGGAAGAGGGAACAGACUGGGUUUCUCCUGCUCCAGAGGGUAGGACUCGAACCCAUGGCUCCAAGUGACAAGACAGAAGAUUCCAGCUGAACAUUCGGAAGAACUUUCUGAGGGCAGGAGCUGUUUGAAAGUGGGUCUGAAGGUGGCACUCUCCCCUUCCUUGGAGGUUUCUAAGCAGAGGUGGGAUAGCCAUCUCUCAUGGAGGCUUUAGCUGAGAUUCCUGGUUCCCCUCCCCCUGUUGCAGGGGUCAGACUAGAUGACCCUUGGGUCCCUUACAGCUCAACAGUUCUAUGAUACUAAGGGGAGACAGAUGGCCAGUUGGGGACUUGCUGGGGGAGUAAGAGAGUGUGUGUCUUUCACCUGAGCAAGACUGAAAAGGCUGGUGGGAGACCUUUUGCUAGAGCUGCCUUCUGUGUGGCCCUGCCAGCUGCCAAGUGGUCCAAGUGGCUGGGAUGGCUACUGAAAUAUACUCAGAGUCGAGAGUGGAUUUCAUGCUCUUUAUUCAGCUCAUAGUGGUGAGGAGGAAUGGAAGUUCCCCCAGAAUGUCUGCUUUAUAUACAUUAUUUACACAAUGGGCCCCACGUGAUUGGCUAAUUCCGGGAUUCUCCUGUAGGCCAAUCAGGUUGUGGAUUCACUUCUACCUGGAGCUGGAUUGGGUGGCUCCUGUGGACCAAUCAGACUGCUGCAUUCUGGACCCUAUUGUUCUAGGACCAAUCAGACUGCUGCCUUUUGGAUCCUAUUCAACUCAGUACAUAACAAUCAUCAUUUUGUUGGAAGAUUCAGGGCAGAGGAAAGAAAGUCCUUCUUCUUGCAGCAGAGUCAAAGGAUGUUGGCAGGAGUGGCCUGGACAACCUGGUUAAAACAAAAGGGGGGGUAGUUGUGAUAACUUGAAAAUCCGAAGUCCCCAUGAAUUGGGGAAAAUGACCGGGAAAAUCAGAGAUCAAGAGGACAACAAAUUCUAUAAAGAAUGGGAAAAUUUUAUAAGUUACUUGAAAGAGCACUGUAUAAACCAGGCAUGUCCAAAGUCUGUUUUGAGGGUUUAAUCCGGCCCCCGUGGCAGUUUAUUUCCUGGGGUAAAAUCCUAAAAAAGCUCAACAACUUCAAUCCUUUAAAAAGGUUAACCUUUGGCUGGACCUCAGGGCCCUUCACUUCUUCAAAUCUUUGAAAAAAGCUUGGGCACCACUGGUUGAAAACAUUGGCAGGAUUUUAAAAACACUUGCGAUGAAGCGAAAACUAUGAUAAAAAUUGAGUUUUAAGAAAAUAUGGAGAAUACGAUACGAUGCAGUUUGGAAAGAAUAUCUGGGGAAACCACGGGUGCAUGGAGGGACGUUCGGGGAUUCUAAGAAUCCUAUUUGUAAAAUGAUUGUGAUUUAUGUAUGAUGAGAAAUGUUAAAAGUGAAAAUGAAUUAAAAUAUAUACAUUUUUAAAAAUCCGAAGUCCCCAUCACAGCCUCAAACUAAAACCAGGAUGAUGAGCCUGACCGUUCCCUAAAACAUACCAAACCUUCAAAAAUUGACAAAAAAUCAACGGUUUGUCCGAUUCUCUCCAUUCAAAUGGCAUAUUACUCCUAAAGGGGGGUGGGGGUGGAUCGAGGCUCCUUCCUUCCUCCAUAACCCCCCUAAGGUCUCCUCACUCCUCCACAAGGUGUGAAAACAAGCCCCAAGGGGGGGGGCAGGAGGUUUUCAGGAGCAACAGUAUUCCAGACAGAAAUCCAUUGGUGAAUGGACUGGAUCCUUUCAAAGUGCGCAAACAGGAAAGGCUGGAACCCAGAGAAAUGUGUAAAUAACAACAACAACAACAACAAAUUAUCGUUAUUGUUAUUGUUACUGUUAUUUCUACCCCACCCAUCUGGCUGGGUUUCCCCAGCCACUCUGGGCAGCUUUCAACAGAACAUUAAAAACAGAAUAAAACUUCAAACAUUAAAAACUUCCCUAAACAGGGCUGCCUUCAGAUGACUUCUAAAAGUCAGAUAGUUGUUUAUUUCCUUGACAUCUGACAGGAGGGCGUUCCACCGUUCCACAGGUCGGGUGCCACUAAUAAUGUUCUUGUUCUUUAACUGGGGGACAGUUCCAUGUUUCUCCAUGAGAGCCACUCCUCUUCUGUGACAUAUCUGUGAUGCACGGGUGAUGCUACUGGAAAUGUAUUAUGGAGAAAGGGGGGGGGGGGAGUCUUAAAAGAUCAUGCAACCCCCUGCUCGGAGUUCUUCCUCCUUGGUGUUUGCAACAAAGAUCAGGUCUCCUGGCUGGAGACUCCUUCUUUUUCUGACCGGAGGGACUCGAGGGGAGUGGCACCGUGGGAAACAGUAAUGCUGUCACUCUCCUCCCCAUCCACUGGGAUCUUCGCAUGAAGGGCUGUGUACAAAUUUAAUAAGUAACAGUGAACCUCAAGCUGACACUAGACAGGAAAGGAACCUGAAGACGUCGUAAAACGUCUUUUAAAUACAAUUAAGUGUUUCAGCAUGUUGUUGUUUAGUCGUUUAGUCGUGUCCGCCUCUUUGUGACCCCCUGGACCAGAGCACGCCAGGCACUCCUGUCUUCCACUGCCUCCCGCAGUUUGGUGUGUUUCAGCAUAGAAUCAUAUUAAACUCACUUAUACUCUUCAGCAGAGACCAGGACCCUAUGCUAGACAUACUCAAGAGUAGACCCAUUGAAAUUAGUAAAGGUAAAGGUAUCCCUGACCGUUAGGUCCAGUCGCAGACGACUCUGGGGUUGCAGCGCUCAUCUCACUCUAUAGGCCAAGGGAGCCGGCGUUUGUCUGCAGACAGUUUCCGGGUCAUGUGGCCAGCAUGACGAAGCCGCUUCUGGCGAACCAGAGCAGCUCACGGAAACGCCAUUUACCUUCCGGCCGGAGCGGUACCUAUUGAUCUACUUGCACUUUGCCGUGCUUUCGAACUGCUAGGUUGGCAGGAGCAGGGACCGAGCAACGGGAGCUCACUCCAUCGCGGGGAUUUGAACCGCCGACCUUCUGAUCGGCAAGCCCAAGAGGCUCAGUGGUUUAGAUCACAGCGCCACCUGCAUCCCCACUGAAAUGACUAAUUUACAUCCCUUAAUUCCAAUGGGUCUGAGUAGAAUUUAGCCCUAGACAGACCCAAAUCAGAGACUCCUUGAUGCCCAGCUUCCUCCGAAGACAGAUGCAAGCAAACCUUAAAAUAAGAACACCAUGAGCCCAGCCUGGCCGGGGGGGGGGGGGCAAUGUCACCUCCCAUGGGAGAGAGUUCUGUUGUUUGGGGGUCAUGACCAGUGGCGGAGGAAGUGGGGGCAGUGGGGGCAGAGCGCCCCGGGUGCCAUUUUUGAGGGGGUGACAAGAAGGCACCCCGUGGGGGGGCUUGCCCUGCCACCAUCACACCACCCCAGCCUCGUGUGGAGGAUCCUCCACGGCUGAUCAUGACGCAGAAAGGCCUGUCCUACCCCUAGUGUGGAAAAUACUUUGGUUGCAGGGGUUGGACUAGAUGACCCUUGGCCCCCUCUCCAACUCCCCAUUUCCAUGAUUCUUUAGCUGUGAUUUCAGCCUUGCAGGGUGUUGGACUAGGUGACUCUUGGGCAGGUCCCUGCCUCAGGCGGCAGAAUCCAUGGGGCACUGCCAUGGACCUCCGGGCUCCAGCGAGAUCUCGUGGCAGCCUUGGAAAACCCCAUGAGAUCUCACAAGGCUCUCGUGAGCUCUGGCUGGAUCCUGGAAGCAGCUGCUGCCGCUGCCCCCUCCCCCCAGCAAGCGAGGUUUCAGCGGCGGCUCAGGGCAGCACCGUCCUGUCUUGCCUCAGGCGGUGAAAUGAGACGGGCCGGCCCUGCCCUUGGGGCCGCUUCCAACUGUACAUUUCUAUGAUUCUGCGGGGCAGGCAGGGAGCUGGAGAGGUUUCUCGCUAGCAGAGUUUUCUAGCCGAGGAAAAUGUGCCAGGCUGGAGCCUGGAGCGACUUCUUCACAGGCAACUUGCAAAGUGCCCGGGAGGGUUAUUGCAGUGGAACUGCUGAGGCAUCACUCGUGCGCAGUGGGGGGCCGGAUCCACGCUGCUGAGGCCAUAUAUCAAGUGUCAGGGCGAGAGAGCGGCUUCCUCUGCUAAGGGGAGCUGAUAAGCAGAGUCACCUUGCCAGAGAUGACCUUCCUUAUUCUCCUGCCACACCGACUGCCGGGUGAGAUCAGAGCGCUGGCAUCCUCAGCCGCUACAGGAAUCUAUGGUGCAGCUGCGUUCAGAAGAAUAUCAUGUGCGGUUCUGGUUGCCUUACCUCAUGAGGGAUAUUGCAGGGCUGGGAAAGGUUUGGGGCGUUACCAGAAUUUAUGUAAAGGUUGGGAGGGGGCAGGGAUGUGGGUGGCACUGUGGGUUAAACCACAGAGUCUAGGACUUGCCGAUCAGAAGGUCAGUGGUUUGAAUCCCCGUGACGGGGUGAGCUCCCGUUGCUCAGUCCCAGCUCCUGCCAAUCUAGCAGUUCGAAAGCACACCAGCACAUCUUAUUAAUAUAAGAUUUAGAACGUAGAAUGGCUUGGUAGUGUUUUGUGUGCUGCUUACUUCUUACUGGUCUGUUCCACAGACAAUAGCAGACCCUCCAGGAAUGGAUUAGGUCCUCCGUCAGGACAAAGGAGUGUGGUUACCUUGACCAGGAAAAACAGGGACUUGUAGAUGUUUCUUCUGCAUCACUUGAUGGGUGUCUGGGGGUGGGCAAGGGAGAGUUGGGGGCAAACCUGCCUGAAAACCCCUCCCUCUUUGUGACCUAUGUGUGAUGUGUCUGUGAUGUACGCAUGAUGCUUCACCAAAGGUGUUCACAAUGGACCGCAGGCCAGAUCCAGGGGGCUACUCUUAAGAAAGACCCAAGUGUCUGCCCAGAAGGACUCUUGGAUGUGGGGAAAUCGAGGGGCCCUUUGCUCCAGGGUGGCGCCCCACUAGAAGCCACAAGGCAGAGCCCAGCUCUUUAAUCAAAGCCACACCUUUUUAUUUACACUCUUCCAGGUGCAAAGAGCCCCCCCAAGUCCAGGCUCAGGGCAGCUCAAGUAGGGAGGAGAGGGGCAGGGGGUCAGUUCGUGAGGCUGAGGGAAAGGCGCCAGGGGGAGGAAGAAGGCAACCCCCAUGCCAGGCUCACCCGACCUUGAGAGGCCCCCGCCAGGGCCGCAGUUCUCAGGGGGGCGCCUGGUGCUGCUUCCGGUGGUGCAGGAUCUCGGUGGGUGUGAGGAGGAGGCUGGCAGAACCUGAGGAACCGGUUUCUGCCAGAGACCUCCCUCCUUUGUGACAUAUGUAUGAUGUAUCUAUGAUGUCUGCAUGAUGAUUCACCAGAGGUGUUUAUGGGGAAAAGGGGAAACUUAUAAAAGAGGGAGCAUCCCUUUGUUCUGGGCUUCUUCCUGCUUCUCCCAUGGGGUGGGUGGAAUUCCUAUUGCAAAAAGUAGCCAGUGGCUGCAAAUUACAGCAGGGGAGAGUUGCUCCUGUGCUCAGAUCCUGAUAAUGGUCAUCUGGUCGGCCACUCUGAGAAAAGGAUGAGGGGCUAGAUGGGCUGUUGGCCUGAUUCUGCAGCUUCUGCUUAGGUGCUAAGGAGGCCUGCCCAUUUCCCUGCUCCAGUCAUCUACAUUUGGCAUUGGAGGAGGAAGGAAGGAAGGAAGGAAGGAAGGAAGGAAGGAGAGAGGGUCAUAUCAAGGUGACCUGGUUCCAACAUAUUUAUGAAGCAGGGUUGAAGCAAUGAUUCUUCAACAUCAACUUUGUUGGACUGGUCUUGUUGUUUGGGUGCCUGAUUAUCGUCUUCCAAAGCAACUCCUCUAUUCCGAACUUAAAAAUGGAAAGUGUAAUGCUGGUGAUCAAGGAAAGAGGUUUAAAGACUGUCUCAAGGCAAAUCUUUAAAAAUGUAGUACAAACACCAACAAUUGGGAAACACUGGCCUGCGAGUGCUCCAGUUGGAGAACAGCCUUUCCCAAAGGUGUCGUGGGCUUUGAAGACACUUGAACUCAGGACGCAAGGGAGAAACGUGCGAAGAGGAAGCCACGCUUGGCAAAUCCACACCAUGAUCAACUCCCACCUGGAAACCAAUGUCCCCACUGUGGAAGGACGUGUGGAUCCAGAAUUGGCCUCCACAGUCACUUACGGACUCAUUGUUAAAACCAUGUUCAUGGAAGACCAUCUUACUCGGCUACAAGUGAUGCUACGAGUGAUCGCCGGAGAAAAAACAGCAGAAGCAGACUCCCAGGCAGCCUUGGCAGCCUUCAACCCAGCUGCUUUUCCUCCUCCUCCUCCUCCUCCUCCUCCUCCUCCUGGUGCUGGGAAAAUGCCUGUCCUUGGCCCAUUCCUCUGGGCAGGUGGCCAGGAUCCAUCUCCAGGCAGCAGCAGGAGUUCUUAGAAGCUCCUAAAGCAGCCUGGCCGGGGGUGGGGGUGGUGAUCUUGCUUUGCCCUCCUGUUUGACUGCUGGCUCCUAAUCCACGCCUCCCCCCCCAUGUGAGGCUGUGGCUGCCACCCCCUUGCAGGGCCAGCGCAGAUGCCAGGCCUGGGUCUGUGCCCUGCUGGUGAGGCCAGGCCCCCCAAUGCCAGCCAAGCCACAACCCGAGGCUUGGCGGACGGAUGUGCCUCCCCCCCAGGGUGGCACAGGGCUUGGCAGCCGGGGGUCUGCCCUCUGGGCGGCAUCCAGACUCCCUCGCUUGCCAGCUCCGCAUGGCUCCUCUCUCACCACCCAAGUCUUGCCAAUUGCAAGAACAGCCAGAGAGCCUUUGUUUCCUUCCGGGCGAUAAUAAUGAUCAAUUUGGAGCCUUUUGGGUUGGUCUUGCAAUGAAGCCUUUCAAGCCCCACCAGCAUCUCAGCAGGCAGCCUCUGCGGGGGUCCCUCCUUGCCCCCCCACACCACUGCCCCCCUCCUGCUUUUCACAAGCAUGUCCUAACCCCUCAUCUUUGCGGAGAAGGGGGGGAAUCAUCCUUCAAAGCCUGUUUGCUUUCCGGCACAAGGCAUCCUGCUGCUGUUGUUAUAGAAACUGCAGAAAUCUGCCUCUGAUAUUGCCAGACCUUUGCUUCACUUGGCUCAGCGCUGCCUGCACUGGCUGGCAGCAGCGACUGUCCAGGAUUUCAGGCAGGAGUCUCUCCCAACUGUACCUGAAGGAGACGCCAUCAGGGAUUGAUCCUGCAACCUUCUGCUUGCAAGGCAGAUCCUCCGCCACUGAGCCACAGCCCUUCCCAUUGAUUUGUUGCUUCCUACAAAGAAUUCAUCUUGAAGCAACUGCCCUUUCCCCUCGCAGGGGCACCCUGGAAGUCUGAAGCCCAGCAGCAGCACACCAGCUCUGCAGGCAGGGAGCCUGCAGGUCACCCUGUGAGCAAGUGUUAGAGGAAUUCUAAGGUCUCAUAUAUAUAAAUCAUAUGUUCAUAAAUGUACAAGGCAAACACAUACGUAAGUAUAUCAACCACGUGUCUGGAAUAGUACAGGAGAGCAAUCCUGAAACCAUUUUGACUCCCAAAUGGACCUCAAAUGUUUCUCUGCAAGGAGGAAGGAAAUGGGAAAAGCCUCCCUCUUGUCUCUGUGCUCACGGGUGUAAGUAGAUAAAUAGGGACCGUUUACUAGCGGGAAGGUAAACGGCGUUCCGUCUGCUGCGCUGGCUCGCCAGAUGCAGCUUGUCACGCUGGGCACGUGACCCGGACGUGUCUUCGGACAGCGCUGGCUCCUGGCCUCUAGAGUGAGAUGAGCGCACAACCCUAGAGUCUGGCAAGACUGGCCCGUACGGGCAGGGGUACCUUUACCUUUUCCUUGAGCUACAGGGUGGGCAAUUUCAAAAGUCAAUAUAAGAGCUUGCACACCAUUGCACUGGGUCCCUCCUCCCUCCUGCGUGUGGCAGUGAGGACCCUGUUGCAAUAGUUUAAUAAAGAUCAGGCUUACAAGCUGCUUUGCUUCUCAAUAUUCUCUGGUUGGCCUGUUAUUUCCUCCUACCCAUGGGGAACCCACUUAAGGACUCUAUAUGGGCUCUUGGGUACCCCAUAAGGAGCAGAUUUUGUUUACAUCGAUAUGGCGAGCACCCCUUUCCCCUCGCAGGGGCACCCUGGAAGUCUGAAGGUCAGCGGCAGGGCCCCAGCUCCGCAGGCAGGAAUCCUGCAGGUCACCCCGUGAGCAAGGAAGGACGGAAGCAUAUCCCUUGAGCCUCUGGUCUGAAUCUGCUGCUGCUGAAGGCCAGGUCAGUCCCUAACAAGGCCAGACUUACUCAGGACUUGGCCCUGACCUGCCCCUUCACUCAGCGAGCAGCUCAUAAGGGAGCUGUCUGGGAAAAUUCAAGUCACGUAAAAAAACGAGGAGAGGAGAGGAGAAAUAUGGCCAGGGAGCUCUCACUCCAUCCCCUCAGUCUUGGUUCUGAGAAUAUCCUGAAACAGCCCUUUUGUCUUCUGAGGUUUGCUAAGGAAAUCUGGCCCCUGGGAGAUUUGUUCUGACCCCCCAGGACAUCCAAAAUGAUCAACGGGAUGGAGGAACUCUCCUACGAAGUAAGGCUUUCCUCCCUCUCUCAUGACACUAGAACUUGGGACGUCCAAUGAAGCUGACUGCUGGAGGAUUCAGGUCAGAGAAAAGAAAGUCCUUCUUCAAGCAGCGCAGAGUUGAACUACGGAACUCCCUGCCACAAGAGGCAGCAAUGGCCACCAGCCUAGGACUCAGCUGCACUGGCAAAGACAAAUCACUUUAUAUGCGUUGUUUAUGCAUUCUGGCACUGUGACACCAGAUGGCGCUGUGGAGUUCUGUUUUUGCUCACCUGAUUUCUCACAAAAAUUUUGCAACACGAUUAACUGAAAUGUUUAUUUGAUGUAUCUAGAUCCAGCGCUAAAUGGAUUUAAAAGAGGAUUGGAGGAGGAGAGGGCUGCCAAAGGCUCAGUUGCCAUCCUCAGUUGGAGGCAGCAGUGCUUCUGAAUCCCAGAUUUUGGAAACCCCAGGAGGGGAGAGUGUUGUUCCUGUGCUCAGAUGCUUCUUUCUGGCUUCUUCCCACAGGCACUGCGAGAACAGGAGGCUGCACUAGAUGGCUCCUGAAGGUGGCAGUUGUGAGGCACAAUCCUGCUUGCCCAGGCAGGUGGCCUUGCAUUGGCUCAGGCCGGCAGCAGCGACUCCCCUUCCAGGCUCCCUGGCUUUGCGAGAUCCAGCACCUGAAGGGAUAGCAGCAGGGGGAAUGAACCCGGCUCCUUCUGCAUGCCCAGCAGGUGCCCCGCCACAGAGCCAGGGCAGCUCCCAGCAGAGCUCUCUGGCCCCACAGUGGCCCCCAUCCUGGGGGAGAGAGGCUGCUCCCCUGCGUGGCUGACUGCAGUGUGCCGGCCUGCCGUUCGUGCCAGCUCCAUCACCUUUGCGCCCGAGAGGGACCCGCGCGGCAGAGCCAUACAUUAUUGCUUAAUUACUUGGAAAGCAACUCUAGACACUUUCUAUUAAGCCGCAGCGUGCAAUUUGCCCAAAGGCAACACGAGACAAGACACUUCCUUUUUCCAAUUAAGUCCAGCCUCGAUUUCCCAAAGCAAAGCUGGCAAUCUCCGUAAUUGGGAGUCCUGCCACGCUGCCCUGGCAGGGAGGGGGGAGCAGAGGGGCAGGAGGUGGGUGGGCUCCCACGUCGCCCUGCUUCUGCCCACGGGGGUGCCACUCGUCGGGGGAGGGGUCUGCCUGGAGGUGCCCACCCUGCCCUCGCCAUCGACCAAUAAGGGCGCCUGCCCGUGGGAGGGGAUCAAUUGUGCCAGGCGGACACUGCGGCCAUCGUGUCAUUCUUCUAAUCAAAAGAGGACAUGGUGGCAAAUGCUUUUUGCCCCCUCCAAAACGCCAGGCUUUGCAAAUCAACAGUUCCAACUAAUUAACAGCCGCGUUCAGUUUGUUUCUGAGAAAUGACAUGUGGCUUUUUCUGAGCAGCGGCUGGAAAGGAAGCUGGUUCCUGGAGAAGGUCAUCUGGGGGGGGGGGCUGUAAAUCACAGGAUCUGGGGGGCUGGGGUCACAGGGGCUGCAUGAGGUCUGGAACUCAGCCGGAGCCUGGAGUCGCUGGCCUGCCGCAAGCGAGGCUCACGCCAUCAGCCACUCACCUUCCAAAGAGCGCAAGAAAUUAUGCUUAUACUUUCCGUUCCAGCUCAGAAUGCUUUUCUUUGGAGGGAAAAAACACCUUAAAAUAUCAACAAUAGUAGAAUCAAGUAACUGUCAAGUUGGUGGGGAUCCAUCCAGUCGAAGGCAGGAAUCUCUUAAGGUGAUUUUAAAAAAGCAAACUGGUUAGUUAGUUGGAACUGCUGGUUUGGAAAGUCUGUGUCCAGUUCUGGGCACCUCGGUUCAAGGAGGAGACUGAGAAGCUGGCAGGUGUACAGAGAAGGGCGACCAAGAUGGUGAAGGGCCUGCAAACCCAGCCUUAUUUAUGAGGUUAAGGGCGUUGGGCAUGUUUUGUCUGGAGAAGAGAGACACCAGUGAUGGAUUUUUUCAAGGAGUUGGAGAUGGCGUUUAUAAGUGGUCCAUGUUUCACAAGCAUACAGUAAGGUUGGUAGUGCAAUAGCUUCGUAAACAAGCAUUUUGGUUUCCCUGCAAAUGUCCUGGUCCUCAAACACUCGGCACUUCAGUUGGGAGAAAGGCUCACUCGCAGAGCUCAGAUGAUGCUGGAUAUCAGCAUCAAUGUUGGCCCUUGUGGAAAGACAGCUGCCCAGGUAGGAGAAGCGAUCGACAUUUUCCAAGGUUACACCACUGAGUUGGAUUUGUGGCGCUGCAGAGGGGAUAUUUUGUACUUGUUGGUGCAGCACUUUGGUUUUGGGGAUGUUGAGCGACAGGCCGAGCUUUUCAUAAGCUUCUGUGAAGAUAUUUAGGAUGGUUUGGAGGUCAUCCUCUGAGCGUGCGCACACUACGUUGUCACCAGCAUACUGAAGCUCUAUGACGGAAGUUAUGGUAACCUUACUCUUUGCUGUCAGCCUGCUCAGACUGAAGAGCUUUCCAUCUGUUUGGUAUACGAUUUCUACCCCGGUGGGGAGACUCUCCUUUGUUCAACAGAGGAUGGGGGGCCACCCACCAGGGAUUAUUUGGCUGUGAUUCCUGCAUUGCACAGGGUCCCUUCCCUCUCCACAAUCUGAUGACCGUCACCAGGAGACCUUCUUCUGCCAGCCCCCGACCCCAACAAGCCCCCGCUUGUUAUCCACCGAGUGAUCUCUGAGAUGGAUGGGUACCUGCAUGUCUGGGAGCGAUCAAUUGAAGAGCGGGCAGAGGGAGGAGGAAGGUAGCUGCUCCGGAGGUCUGCAGCUCCAGUCAGGGCAGAUUAAGUGAAAAUGGAUCUUUUCAUUAGCUGACUGACACCCUGGCAGCUGGCCUGGCCAGAGAUUGAUUUUCCUUUCCACAGGGGAGAAGCAGGAGAGCAAGGUAGGUCACCCGUGACCAAGGGGCUGCCUGGGGACCAACAGGGGCAACAGGGGGGCAGGCAGAUCUCCCUCCAAGGCUCGGGGGCCAAGUCAAAUGGCCUGGCAUGAGAGUCACCCCUGCUGCCACUCGCUGUCAUUUAAGAAGCGUGACGGCGCAAGGCUCCCCUCUGAAGAAAGUUGCAGCAUUUGAGAAUUGAGGCGAAAGGCGAGGAAGAGGCGACAUGAUGGACGUUUAUAACAGGAGAAAGUCGAUGGAGAAAUGUUUUCCCCCUCUCUCUCCCAUAACGCUAGAACUCGUGGAUAUACGAUGGUGCUGAAGGUUGGAAGAUUUAGGACAAAUAAUAGCAAUGAUGGGGUGAUGAUGAUGGGCAGCAUACAAAUAAUAAUAAUAAUAAUAAUAAUAAUAAUAAUAAUAAUAAUUGUAAAUCCAAAAUUGUAUAUCCAAAGUUCAAAGGGCAUCCGUAAUAAAACAAAAGCAAAACCUGGCAUAGCUCAGUCAGUAGAGUGUAAGAUUUCAUUCUGGGAUCAUGAGUUCGAGUCUCACGUUGGGCAAAACAUUUCUGCUUUACAUGGGGUUGGACUUUUGGAGCAGAGAUCUUCUCUUGCUUUCCUAAGAACUAUGGCAGGUUGAAACAAAGGACCACACCAGCGUGGUGUAGUGGUUAAGAGCGCUAGUCUCGUAAUCUGGAGAACCGGGUUCGCGUCUCCGCUCCUCCACCUGCAGCUGCUGGGUGACCUUGGGCCAGUCACACUUCUCUGAAGUCUCUCAGCCCCACUCACCUCACAGAGUGUUUGUUGUGGGGGAGGAAGGGAAAGGAGAAUGUUAGCUGCUUUGAGACUCCUGAAGGGGAGUGAAAGGCGGGAUAUCAAAUCCAAACUCUUCUUCUUCUUCAGAAGGUGGCGGCCCCUCCUUCGCUGGAGGUUUUUAAGCAGAAGUUGGCUGUCUGUCAUAGAUUUCUCAGCUCUGAUUCCUGAAUUGCAGUGCUUUGAGCUGGAUGACCCUCAGGGAUCCCUUUACAAUCACAGGAAUUAAAGCCAGCCCAUAAAGCAGCCCCUGAUGGUGGUUUCUCCAGGAAGCCCUCAUUCAUUGCACUAAAUAAAGAACAGCUGGCAAUAUACGAGGAUUAAGGCAAGCUCCAAAAUGUUUUAAAUGCUCUUUUAUGAUUUCCUCCUUGCUUUCCACCCCAUGGCACCACCUCACCCACCGCAAAGGCGCCUGGGAAACACACAAACGCACACACACAGCCUCUAGAGCCCAUUAAAGUCUAUCAUCUCCUCUCCUCACAGCCCGGGAAGAUUUGUCUGCGCUUUCAGAAAUAGUCUCCUGAGGUGGGUAUUUAUUGGGACUCAAACAAGCAAACUGUAGAUAUUUCUUGGGGCUUUUACAGCACUAAUUAAUGGUGCCAUUAAGCAGUAGAAUUAUAACCACUUGUAGAGAGAGAGAGAGAGAGAGAGAGAGAGAGAGAGAAGAGAGAGAGAGAGAGAUUCACCCCAUGAUAUACAUCCCCACCUGCCCUGUACUGGUGGGGAAUGGAUGUUCAAGGAUGGAGGGAGAAAUUCUCCGGCUUAUCCAGAUGACCAAGGGUCUGCAAACCAAGCCUGAUGAGGAACGGUUGAGGGAGUUUGAUCUGUUUAGCCUGGAGAAGAGGAGACUGAAAAGGAGGUAUUAUCACCAUCUUCCAAUAUCUCCAGGGCUGUCCCAUGGAAGGUGGAGUCAGCUUGUUUUCUCCUGCUCUGGAGGGUAGGACUCGAACCCAUGAUUUUUCCAUUGCAGGGACUUCACCCUCUGGUCCCCUUCAAAAUCGACAAUUCUAAGAUUGCAUGACGAUUCAAUGGAUUCCAGUUGCAAGGAAGGAGGUUCCGACUAAACACCAGGAGGAGCUUUCUGACGGCAAGAGCAGUUCAGCCGCGGAACUCCCUGUUUGGACUCCCUUGGAAAGCGAUGGACUCUCCUUUCCCGGAGGUUUUUAAGCAGAGGCCUCUGUUAUGGAUGCUUGAGCUGAGAGCCCUGCGUGAUGUAAGCCAGGCAUUUGGCAGACACUACUCUUGCCGACACGCAGAGCGUCUCUCCAGAUGCUUCCCUCUGUGGAAGCUCAGCGUGGCUCCCUUGGGCGCCAGACCCCCGCUGCUCCCCUCUCCCACAGCCCUGAUACAGACCGACUGCUUGGCUGCAAAGGGGCUGCCCCUUUGUGGGGCAGGGGGCAGGAGAUCCAGCUGCCAGGGCCUGCGGUCCAUUCCAAAGAGAGAGGCCCCUGGCUCAGAAGGCAGGCAGGCAGGGAGCAAGCGUGUGUGAGAGAGAUCUCCAGUUUCCCUAUGACUUUUCUGAGUAAUAAAAGCAAGAGAAUUAGCUGCUAAGCCGAUUGAGAAACUACUCAUUAUAUCCCACAGAGAAAAGAAUAGGGAAUUGCCAUAAUUUUGUUUUAAAAGCAUGAAUAAUUUCUCUGGAAAUUAGAAAUGGGCAUAGAAGUCGUUUUGCACACAGGGAUUUCAAAGGCUUUCAGGGAGACCAAUUGAGCGCCUUCCUCUCCAGCCCACCCCCCCUGAAAGAAAGAAGGAAGGGGGGAAGGAGGGAAGGAAGGAGGGAGGGAGGGAGGGAGGGAAGGGUCCUGUCACGAGUCUGCAAGAGUCUGGGGGCCUUGGCUGGGGAAGGAGACCUUCCUACCAAGUCAUUGUCAGCUGAGAUCAAAGACACAAGGAGAAAGUGAUGUCACAACACAGUUGUCAUAAUGCAAUGAUGUCAGCUGUGUCAUUGGACUUAGCUGGGAUGUGAAAAUGCUGGUGGCACUGGGAUAUGAACCACAGAAUGAGAGGAGGGGAAGUCAUUGAUUUAAGAUUGUUUAAAUGAAUAAUGUAAAUUAGAAAAAUAAUAAAAAAUAUUAUAAAAAAGGGGUUAUAUGGUUCCUGCAACAGCAGCAGUUCUGCUGAUCAAAGUGGUCAUGUGGAUAGAUAUGGGGUAUGCACCCAAGUUUUUAAGGGCUUCAUAUGCUAAUAGUAGCACCUUGAACUCAGCCUGGUCGCAAAUGUGGGAUGGUGAUAUGUAAGUAGCAGUCAAGUACAACAUUCCUUGUUUUCCUAGAGUGGGCAUGCAAGGGGAUGUUUGGUCCAGCCAGUUGAAAACUUCCUGUUUCCUCCUGGCUGGGACAUACUAGAGGUGGGCGUGGCCUUACCUGUCCAGGUAACAAAAGGACAAGUCACGCAGCACACCCUCUCUCUUUGACUACCUCCCUCAUUGGAGCACCUUUUUAGCUAGAGAUGCUCUGUUGGCUUUCAGCCACCAGAGGACACUGGGAUUAUCCCCAUAUGGGAUAGAUCCACAUGUAUAUCCUUUGUAACUAAGUCUGCCUUCAGGGAUCCAACUCUGAACUGAUGAUGUGAGUAAACUUGUUUUAUAUACUUUAUAUAUAUGUGUUUAUUCUUUUAAGAGGGACAUAAGGGGACUGACCUGGAACCUAAUAGUAGAGGCUCACACGAGCCUGCAACCAGUUAUCCACUGUGCAUUUAAAAGGGGAAUGUGAAACUCUGCUAAGUAAAGGAACUUGCUAGCGCAAGUUAGGAAGGAUAUGAAUAAACAAUAUAUCCUCUCCUGCCUCCCUGAACAAUUCCCACAGCAAAUGGGCAGCCAGUGCAGAUCUCUGAGCACUGAGGUGUUUUGUGCUGGCAAGGCCUCACUCUUGUCAGCAGUCGUGCUGCAGCAUUCUGCGCCAACUGCGGCCUCUAGAUCAAGCGCAAGGGAAGCCCCACAGAGAGCGCAUUGUAGGAAUCCAGCACUGAAGUCCCCAGCGCAUGAACCGCUGUGGCAAGGCUGGCCUGCUCCAGCAAAGGCUGUAGCUGCCGAACUGGUUACAGCUGGCCAAAGGCACUUCCAGCGACUGCAGUAAAGAACCGCUCUUGUUCUGGGUUCCUGCAUUGCACGGGGUUCGGCUAGAUGACCUUUGGGGGUCCCUUCCAGCUCUGUGAUUCUGUGAUUUCUCCAGAUUUCAGAAGGGCUUGAAUGUUCAGCGCUGCCCAAGCAAGCACCAGUGGCAGCUCCACAUUGGGCUUCGGCCAGGCACCAUAGAAAGCCCCUGCUGCCAGUCAGUGUAGGUGGUACUGAUCUGGAUGGAUCCAGUGGUCUGACUCUGUAUAAAGGAGUAUCUUAUGUCCCUAUGCAAUCAAGGGUCGCAGGAGGACAAGGUGAUAGGGUACUUCAGCAUCCCUCCUCCGAAAUACUGUGAUUGGAUGGCCCUGACAAACCCUCUGGUUGGACGCUCUCCCCGCCAGUCACAAAAGCAUUUCUCCUUGGGGAGAAAUGUUCCAGCUUUUGCAGACCUGCUGCCUGCCCAGCUCUCUUUUCAUUCCAAACACCUGCAUCCCUUUGAACGUCCUCAGUUCAGCUCAGGGGGCUCAGGAGAGACCCCACUUCAGCCCAGACAAGCCCCCAGAGCCGUCUGAAGUGGUUCUGAGUUUGCACAGAUCUGCUGUGUGUCCCUGGCAUGCAGGAGCUGCAAGAUUUGGGCCACGGGGAGGAAAAACCUCCAAGCGCUUGUAAGUCAGGUCAGGGUUGAAUUGAUGUGUUGGGAGCUGUGAUCUCGAACAGCAUCAGCUGUAAUUGAUUGGCGAGAGUGGAAUAAAAGCGCCGAAAGAUGGUUGGAGAGGAUAAUGGGGAAGUCGCCUGUCUCAAUCUCAGAAGAGAAAAAGUGAAACUCAGGAGGCCUUUGGCAGGGAGGGAGCUGCGCCGGAAAGUCAUUUAUCUCUGGCGUAGAGAUAAAUGCAGGAGCAGCGCAGAUUUCCAGAAUUGUAGAGUUGGAAGGACCUCCAGGGGUCAUCUAGUCCAACCCUAUGCAAUGCAGACAUCUUAGCUCAAGAAUCCCUGGCAGGCAGCGUCCUGUGGGAUGCAGGAGAGGAUAUAUUGUUUGAUUAUAGCCUUUCCAACUUGUGUAAACAAGUUCACAAUUAGCAGAGUAACAUUCCCUUUUUUAAACUUGCAGCGGAUGAGUUUGCUCAGGCUCGCUAAAGCCUCUGUUCUGGUAUUUUCCCCUUAUUCCCUUAUAGAAGAUAAGACACGACACAGUCUUCUAUAAAAAGAGUUUACUCACUCACAUUCUGUUCACAAUCGGAUCCCAGAAGGCAGACUUAGCUUGGAAAAGUAACAUACACCUGGAAACUAUCUCAUAAGGAGACAGUCCCUUUGUCCUCUCUUGGCUAAGCAGAUGUUGCUUCUUCGAUGCAUGUAGUCAAAGAGAGAGAGAUGGCUGCCCUGCCCUGUGCUUUUGUUGUUACUUGCACAGGUGAGGCCACACCCACCUCUAGUCACAUGCAGAGAAAGUCUGUCCCAGCCCAGAAGGAAACAGGAAGUUUACCUGCUGGCUGGACAAACAUUCCUCCCCAUGUGUAAACACGUUCAGUUUGGAAUGUUGCACUUGACUGCUCUUGUGUUUCACAUCUCACACAUCCAACCUGUUUAAAGACCUCCAAUGACUCAUAGAAUUGUGGAUAUGGGAGGGAGCCCAGGGGGGUUGGACUAGAUGACCCUUGGGUCCACUUCCUCCAUUACAAUUCGUGGAUUCUAUAGGACACCCUUCUACCACCUUUUGUGACUAGAGAGAGGCAGCCGCAGCUGGCUCUAAGAGCAGGACUCCCAGCUUGCAAAAGGAAUGGGGGGUGAGCCGAUCCCCCAAACUGCCCAGACACAUGUCAAGAGGGUGGCAGAGGGGCGCUUCUGUGUGCAUGGCUCAGGCAGGUGAGGGUGGGUGCCUGCCAUGGGUCCAGGCCCACAGGACACCCCUCUGGUUGCAAGAGAGAAAUCUGGUGUGUGUGUGUGUGUGUGUGUGUCCCAGGCACAAAUUGGGGGUCAGCCAAGGGCCUCUGGAUUCACAGGCUCCCAGAUCACACACACGUGUGUCUCCAGCGUAAGCGCCAAGUUGCACAGGUGGCGGCUGGGCUGCAAAUGCAGUUCAGGGACACGCUGCCAUUAUGCGCAGCCCUUAUCAAGACAAAGAGACACUCUUUUGGCAAAGAGCUGCUGCUGGGGGGGGGGCGACACCAUUAGCGCCCCCAGAGCACGUGCCUGCGAGCCCAACACCAGGCAGCUGCUUUGCACACUUCUCUUGCCCACCAGAGGGGCAUCGCUCUCAGCCUGGCAAAGGAUGCUCAGGGAAGACGCCCCCCCCAGGAGCUCAGGCAGCAGCUGUGAAAGGCCUGUAGGGAGGUUGGUGAGCCUAAACAGAGCUGGCUGGAUCAGGCCAAAGGCACAGCUUAGUCGAGCAUCCUGUCCUCACAAGGGCCAAAUGCCCCUAAGAAGCUGGUGUUCUAGGUAGACUGCUUCUGGAGCUGGAGGUUCCAUAAGGAGAGCCCAUGGACCACCUGUUCCAGUCUCCUCUUUUUGCAGGGGCAGCCAGAUGACCGUGGGAAGCAGGAUUUGAGCACAAGAUCAACUCUUUCCUCCUGCAAUUUCUGGCAAUUCCGACUGUGGAGGCAGAGCAAAGUCAUGGCUAACCUUCUCCUCCAUGGCUAACCCUCUCCUGCUCCAUGAAUUUGCCUCAUCCUCUUUCCAAGCCAUCCAGGUUCGUGGCCAUUGCUGCCUCCUGUGGCAGGGAGUUCCACAGAUUAACUCUGCGCUGCACAAAGGAGGACUUUCUUCUGUCCAUCCUGAAUCUUCCAUCAAGGCGCUCAGAAUGGCUGAGAGGCUCCUCUCCCCGGUUAUCACCAAAUAAUAUCACCAAACGACUUUUGGCGGCCGGCACAUCUACGCUCCAGCUGUCCUGCCGGGGACCCCCAACUCCCUUGAGCCCCUCAGAACCACAUUUCUGGCUGGCGACCCCGACUGUCCCCCCCUUCUCUUCCGGGGCUGGGGAGCGGCAAAUGGAGAGCUGGCCCCUUCCCCCGGCAAAGGGGCAGCCCCACUGCCCAGCCACCUGAGCGGUGGGGAAGUUGGGCAGGGAGAAAUGGACCCCCCUCCCUGAGUAACUGAAUUUAUUCGCCUCCUCGAAAAGAUGACGGUGGUAAUUAAAAGGCCGGCGUGUCAGUGUUUUGCUUCAUCCUAUGGUGGUGGGUUUUGUUUCCACUCUCUGCCCCCCCCCCCCAGCAGCCAAGCACUCGAUCUGGAUCCCAGCUGCAUUUCAGAGGGUUUUGCUUCCCUGGCAGGAAGAUGAAAUAAAUGCAUCUCCAGCGACUCCAGCUGCUCCUUCCCCCGGCGCUGGGAAAAGGUGGAAAGAGGAGAUGCUCCUACUCCUCCUCUCCCAGUGGACACUCAUCACGAGAAGAGCCUGCUGGAUCAGGCCCAUGCCCCCCCCCCGCAGCAUCUUUGUGGGAAUGUUCAGGGAUGCAGGAGAGGAUAUAUUGUUUGAUUAUAGCCUUUCCAAUUUUUUAACUGUGUUAACAAGUUCACAAUUUAGCAGAGUAACAUCCCCCUUUUUAAACUCGCAGCGGAUGCGUUUACUAAAGGCUCACUAAAGCCUCCAUAAUAACUGUUCUGGUAUUGUCCCCUUAUUCCCUCAUAAGAGAUAAGACACAACACAGUCUUCUAUAAAAGUAUAGAAAGAGUUUACUCACAUUCUGUUCACAAUCGGAUCCCAAAAUGCAGACUUAGCUUAGAAAAGUAACAUAUACCUGGAAACUAUCUCAUAAGGAGACACUCCCUUUGUCCUUUCUUAGCUGGUGGCCAAGCAGAUGUUGUUUCUUCAAUGUAUGUAGUCAAAGAGAGAGAGAUGGCUGCCCCGCCCUGUGCUUUUGUUGUUACCUGCACAGGUGAGGCCAUGCCCACCUCUAGUCACACGCAGAGGAAGUCUGCCCCAGCCCAGAAGGAAACAGGAAGUUUACCUGCUGGCUGGACAAACAUCGCUCCCCAUGUGUAAACAUGUUCACUCUAGGAAUGUUGUACUUGACUGCUCUUGUGUUUCACAUCCCACAAUCUUGUACUGACUUUGGCCAAAUGCACACAGGAACCCUGGAAUGUGGAUAGACUGCCUCUGGACCUGGAAGUUCCAUAAGGACAGAAGAAGAGCCCAGCUUCUUCCAUGGCCCAACUAGUCAUAGAAGCAUAGAAUGGUAGAGUUGGAAGGGACCUCCAAGGGCCAUCCAGUCCAACCCCCUGCAAUGCAGGAAUCACGACUGCAGCGUUCCCGGCGGGUGGCCAACCUCUGCUUCAUAACCUCCAGGGAAGGAGAGCCCAGCGUCCUGUUCCCACAGUAGCGCAACUGCUGCCUGUGGGAAUCCUUCAAGCAGGAUUCGAACACAAGAGCAGCUCCCCGCUCCCGUGGUUUCCAGCAACUGGUAUUCAGAAACAUCGCUGCCUCUGACUGCAGAGCCAGAGUCUAGCCAUUGAGGCUGGUAGACAUCAAUAGUUUCAUUUUCCUUUACGAAUGUGUCUCAUUCUCUUUUAAAGCCGUCUAGGUUGGUGACCAGGGACGCGGGUGGCACUGUGGGUUAAACCACAGAGCCUAGGACUUGCUGAUCAGAAGGUCGGCGGUUCGAAUCCCCGCAAUGACAGGGUGAGCUCCCGUUGCUCGGUGCCUGCUCCUGCCAACCUAGCAGUUCGAAAGCACGUCAAAGUGCAAGUAGAUAAAUAGGUACCACUCCGGCGGGAAGGUAAACAGCUUUUCUGUGCGCUGCUCUGGUUCACCAGAAGCGGCUUAGUCAUGCUGGCCACAUGACCCGGAAGCUGUACGCCGGCUCCCUUGGCCAAUAAAGUGAGAUGAGCGCUGCAACCCCAGAGUCAGCCACGACUGGACCGAACGGUCAGGGGUCCCUUAAUUUGGUGGCCAUUGCUGCCUCCUGUGCCGGGAGUUCCACUGUUUAACUCUGCUGGAUGAAGAUGCAGUGGCGGAGGAACCCUUUCUGUCACCCGGGGCAGGACGCCAAGGGGCGGGGCAAACCACCUGGUGGCACAUGCGCAACAUGCGUAUGGACUGUGCAUGCGCAGCAUCCCGUACGGAGUGCGCAUGUGCGGCAUCCCAUACGGACGCCCAUAUGGACAGCACAUGAGAGCGGCAGCCUGUACGGUCGGCCAGGAGUCUUUCUGGGUGAUCUUAGACCAGUCAGCAUUCCCUGUCUGCCUCUGAGGGGAGAGGGGGCAACAGAUAAUGGGUGUGGGUGUUGCUUGUUCCCGUUGCCCCACCCUGCAUUGGAAAUGACCUGAUCAGGGGUGGGGGCUUCAGAGGGGGCUUUAGUCCAAGGGGCUAAGCAAGCCGAGUGGCCUUUGGGUGGAAGGGCUUCUUGGGCUCCCGUCUUAGGGAGGGUGGGGGUCCUCCCCCUGUGCAAGCCACAGCUGGUGGCCAGGUCUCCUCUCCUCUGCUUUGAUCAUCUGGAGAAAGCUGGGGGAGGGACCUCCUCUGACCUCCAGAUUGUAAAUGUCAGGAGCGUUUUAUGCUGGAGAUAAAGAGCCCUCUUUGCGAGAUUGUAACAAGAUUAUGCUCCAUAAAAGCAGUGAGUGAUAUUGACAGCGUUAUUGCAGGAAGAAGGUUGAGGGAGUCCGAGGCGCAGAGGGAGCAGAGGAACGGAAGAGCAGAAGGGGAGACCGGCUGCUGGAUCAGGCCCAACGGGGCCCCGCCUGGUCCAGCACCUGGUUCUCAUGGUGGCCCAAUACCCAAUAAAUCCUUUUUUGUUGUUGUUUAGUCAUUUAGUGGUGUCCGCCUCUUCGUGACCCCCUGGACCAGAGCACGCCAGGCCCUCCUGUCUUCCACUGCUUCCCGCAGUUUAGUCAGACUCAUGUUCGUAGCUUCAAGAACACUGUCCCACCAUCUCGUCCUCUGUCGUCCCCUUCUCCUUGUGCCCUCCAUCUUUCCCAACAUCAGGGUCUUUUCCAGGGAGUCUUCUCUUCUCAUGAGGUGGCCAAAGUCUGGGAGCCUCAGCUUCAGGAUCUGUCCUUCCAGUGAGCACUCAGGGCUGAUUUCCUUCCGAAUGGAGAGGUUUGAUCUUCUUGCAGUCCAUGGGACUCUCAAGAGUCUCCUCCAGCACCAGAAUUCAAAAGCAUCCAUUCUUCGGUGAUCAGCCUUCUUUAUGGUCCAGCUCUCACUUCCAUACAUCACUACUGGGAAAACCAGGAAUCCAGAUAGCCUGCCACUGGACCUGGAGGUUUCAUAGGAAGAUUGGAAGAGCCCGGCUGCUGGGUCAGGCCAAAGGGGGCCCAUCUGGUCCAGCGUCCUGUUCUCACAGUGGGCAGCCAGAUGCCCCCCAAGGAACCCACAAGCAGGCCCUGGGUGCAAGUAUAGUCUCCAGUUGUAGUUCUCCAUUAUCUGGUAUUCAGAGGUAGACUGUCCCUGGGCAUGGAGGUUCUGCCGCUGCAAUCUGCCUCCAUAAGGAGAGCCAGGCUGCUGGAUCAAGUCCUCUCACUCCCUCUUCCUGCUGGGUGGGAAGGUGGUGAGGAGAACGAGGUCCCAUUCAGGGCUCCUGAGUCCCACCUUGCCGUCCUGAGAAUCAAAGAAUGAUAGAGCUGGAAGGGACCCCGAGGGUCAUCUAGUCCGACCCCCUGCAAUGCAGGAAUCUCAGCUAGAUCAUCCAUGACUGAUGGCCGCUCUGCUUAAAAGCCUCGAAGGAAGGAGAGUCCACAACCUCCCCAAGGAGACCUUUCUGCUGUUGAACAGCUCUUCCCCUUCAAAUGUUCUUCCUGAUGUUUAUUUAGCUGGAAUCUCCUUUCUUGUAACUUAAAAAAUGAUAACUUUUUAAUGUAAGUUCUGUGACUCUUCCCUGCUCAAUUCAGUCCCUUUACAUGGUUUUUUAAUGCAUUAUGGGAGAUAAGCUGUUUAUUUUAAAGACAUACCUUUUCAUUGGGACUUUUCUGCACUGUUGCAGUGCAUAUUUGCUGCAUAUAUCUCCUCAGCUUGCAAACCAGCUGGCCUGCAGCAAUGUGGAAAGGCGACAUGCAAAUUAAGAGGGAAAGAGGGAAAAAUGGAAAGUACAGCCCAAGGGUUACUAGGCAGAAAUGUGUGUGUGUGUGCGCGCGCGCGCAUUGCUGCCACUUUUCGCCUGUGCAGCCAGUGAUGAGGAGAGCAAGCUCACCUUGUCACCAUGGCAACUGCAUCCCAGGUCGCCCAAGUGCCAUGGAUGACUCUGCACCUCCAGAUUUCAAAGAGUUGGGGGGGGGGAGAGGGGGAGAGAGAAUCUCAAGCCCUCGCUGAGAUCCAGCAGGAGUCCCACUGGGCGGAUGAUCCCUGGCUUGAGCUAAACGAUUUUGCAAGGCCUUCAUGGGCGGAGAGGUGAACACACAGCCAGGAAACAAGCAGUCAGCAAAGGCUGGGGGGAACAGGAGGGGGCCAAGAAGGAAGGAUUCGCCAGGAAUGCAGGCAGAUUCCCCUGCAAAAAGCCCCCCCCCAACAUGGAGGGGAGGGUUCACGACUCCCUAGCCCCCCAACAUGACCUGCAGCUGUUUGGCCCCCCCCUUGGUCUUGGAGGAAAGAGCAGUGCGGGGAGGGAGGCUGUGGCAUUUUUAGCCUGGCCAUCAGAAGCUGCAAUGGCCAUGCUGUGAUUUCCCAGUGCAAAGCGGCAAAGGCUGAAUAAUAAUAAUUUUAUCAUUUGUACCCUGCCCGUUGGACUGCUCUGGGCGGCUCCCGACAGAUAUAAAAACAUAAUAAAACACCAAACAUUAAAUAAUAAUAAUAAUUAUGGUUCUGAAUGACAGUUGCUGGCAAGCCCCCUUUGGCCGGACCCAGCAGGCUUUGCUUGCAUUCUCCCAUUCUUAUGCCUGUCGGCAAGGGAAAAAGAAGGGCCUUAUGCAGAGUCCCACCACUGGUCCAUCUCGCUCAGGAGACCGGGCGUGGGUCCCCCCUGGUUUCAGACCGGAAAGGGUCAGGAGGACGGAGAAAAGGAAGUUCUUCUUCAUCCCUGCCACAGGCUUUAGUAGUGGCUUUAGAAGAGGAUGAGACAAAUUCAUGGAGAGCAACUAGCCAGGCUGGCUUUGCUCUGGCUCCACAUCUGGAGGUGGCAAGUCCAGCUGUUGAGAGUCGCUCUUGUGCCCAAAUCCUGCUUGUGGGUUUCCCACAAUGGGCACCUGGUUGGCCACUGUGAGAAGAGGACGCUAGAUCAGAGGGAGCCAUUGGCCUGAUCCAGCAGGCUCCUCUGAUGGAGCCUCCAGGUCCAGAGGCAGUCUACCUUGAUCCCCGGGUUCUCAGGGGCAUUUGGCCCCAGUGAGGACAGGAGGCAGGGCUGUCCCCGCAGGCGCUCCUCCUCUUCCCAGCUCCUGUCGCCAUAAUGGAGACAAACGAGGACAUCCUUUGCCAUGCUCCGGGCGUAUAGCUGCGCGCGGCGGCACCCGAAUCUGCUGAAGCGGCUUCUCUGCGGCGCCUGAAGCAAAAGGCGCCUCUAAAUGUUGCGCUAAUUUCCCAUGCAGGCAGAGACCUAAUUUACAUUUUUAUCAGGCUUUCAAAUUACUGCUGUCUGUGCCUGCAACUCUUUCCGCUGCUGCUGCUGCCGCCGCCGCCACAGCUGUAAGGGGCUCUGGAAAUUACGAAGGAGCGGCUGGAUCCAGAGGCCAGCCUCAGAGGUGCAUAUCUGGGGGGAGUCAAGAAGACCCCUGGAUGCCCACAGAAUCACAGAACCACAGAGUUGCAGAACUGGAAGGGACCCCGAGCACCAAUCCGCUGCAAUGCCAGCAGCUUGCUGGGGAAAGUCUGGGUUGGAGAGCCUGUCUCUCUGCCUGCCCCCAGCCCCCCCCCCCUGGACUCCUGGACCCUGGGGGGCAGCCUGGCUUUGGCUCAGUCUGUGCUCACCCAGAAACCCCCUCUGACAUCACUUCCUGCUCAGGGCAGAGGGAGGCAGGCACUCACCUUGGGGUUACCUGUUCAGGUGGGUGCUGACAGGUGCUGCAACUUUCAGAAGGCCAAGCUCAUCAUGCCAGAUCGCAGGACUGGGCUACGGCUACUCUGUGGUGUGGCGCUGUGGGUUAAACCACAGAGCCUAGGGCUUGCGUAUCAGAAGGUCAGCAGUUUGAAUCCCCGCGAUGGAGUGAGCUCCCGUUGCUCGGUCCCUGCUCCUGCCCACCUAGCAGUUCAAAAGCACGUCAAAGUGCAAGUAGAUAAAUAGGUACCGCUCUGGCGGGAAGGUCAACGGCGUUUCCGUGAGCUGCUCUGUUCGCCAGAAGCGGCUUAGUCCUGCUGGCCACAUGACCCGGAAGCUGUACUCCGGCUCCCUCGGCCAGUAAAGCGAGAUGAGCGCCGCAACCCCAGAGUCGGCCACGACUUGACCUAAUGGUCAGGGCUCCCUUUACCUUUACCUUACUCCGUGGUGAGAGGGAGGCACUUGGAACGGGCUUAGGGAAAGUCUCCUCUUCCUUGCUGCCAACUCCAUGCGAAAGCCGGGUCCUGACUGGACAAAAAUUAUCAUGAGCCAGAAGGUCAAUUUUCACAAACAAGCCCUCAGAUUUCUCCGUUAACAAACCAAAACCAUUCUUAAACCGAGGUGCACUUUCCCUAUGAGGCCUCCUGCCGCCAGUGCCCUUCCAGUGUUCAGAUUCCGUUCUUAGACUGAGGUAAAGUUCUCAGACCGAGACACUAUUUCCGGUUUUCGGAGUUUGUAAACCAAAUCAUUCUUUCUUUUUUUUUUAAAAAAAUGAUAUUUAUUGAGAAUUUAAAAUUACAAAAAAAGAAAGGAAGAAACAAGAAAAAAAGAAAAAGAAAUAAAAAGGUAGACAAAAAUAGCGAAUGAACAAUACAAGUCAAUAAAAACCAAAGUCAAAGAAAAAAACAAAACACACAAUACAUCAAAAUCAGAAAACAAAAAUAAACAAAAAAUUAAAAAAUAAAUCCAAUAUUCCCAAAUCCUUAUCUUUCAUUAACUUGUUUCAUCGACCUCCUCGCACCUCCCUUUUUUGUAUUCUAGUUAUUAAUUAUCUCAGCAAAUCCUUUCCAUGUUUCACAAUAUUCUGUCAUUAAAUUACCUUAAUCUAUUUUAACCUUAUCUUACCAUAAAAAACCCUAAAGCUUAAAACUUAAGUCUUAUUUAUACCUAAUUCUUUUUUAGCAUAACAUAAUUCUUUUUAACAUUUCUACUAAAGCCAAACAAUUUCAUUCCAACAUUUUUCUAAUACUCAUUAAUUUUACAAUUAUUUUCUAAAUGAAUUUUUAAAACUUUCUUCCAAUCUUCAUCCAUCGUCUCUUCUUCCUGGUCUCGGGUUUUGUCAGUCCUUUCUAUCCCAUCCAUCUAGUCCAUCAACCUGGUGACCUUCUAUCCGAGGCUCUUAAGUCUUUUCCAUGUCCCUUCCGCAGGUCUUCAUGUUUAUACCUGUACUUUACUUUAUCUUCUGCUGAUCUUGUUCUUAAUUUCCUUCCUUUCUCUCGGGGAGACUCCAACUUGACAAUAUCUUUGUCCCUUCUCGACAAGUCAGCCCAUUCUCCAUAGUCGACACUGAAAUCCAUAUGAUAUUUAAAGGCAUGUUUCAAAGUCCCUCCAAGGUUAAGGGCCCCCACAACUCCAAACUCCCCCUGGCCCAAAGCCAAAUUCGAAAAGCCAAAACAUCCCUGCAUAGGGGAAUCUAUCCAGCUUCCCAUCUCCAAGCCAAACAGAACUCCAUCUCUCCAAAUCUGACUUUCUCCAGGUUCAUUCGUCAAAUCCAACAACUUAUGUUCCUGCAGGGCCGCAGCUCUCUCCAUUUCUGCUACUUGAGGUUCAGCAACAACCUCCUCCUUUAUCUUCUUCACCACUUGAUCUGUCAAAGCACAUUCCUGGAUUAAUUCCUGAGUGGGUUCUAUAUAGGUAUUCACUGUCCAAAAUUUCCGACUGCAACAGUCAUCAAAUCCAUCUUCUCAUGUAGCUGUUCCAGUAAAGUGCUUGUCUUGCAAAGAGCAAGCACUAAAGCUUCUUCUGGGCACAUUCUUGUUCAAGGUCAAAGUCUGGUCCCACGAUCUUUAAUCUCUACAGCUGCAAAGUUCCCCAGAUCGACUCUAGUAACAGUUUCACAAGCUCCCUCUAGGGGAAACAAUUUCUAUUUGUAUCCGUCUUUUUAAAAGCAGAUCUAGCAACAAAGUUCCUUUCCUUUUUCAGAUAUUUUGUUCCUUUUAAAUGCAAAAGGGAACAAUGGAAUCAAUAUGUUUCUCUUUUUUAACUAUCUGUCAAAAACUUUUUGUCCACAGUCAAUGGACUUCCCCAAAGCGUCUGUCCUGACACCCCGCUCCCAGGUUCAAGACGGUGGAAAUUUAUCUUUCUUUACUCUCUCUUCUGCAGGUUUAAACAGUCUAAAAAGAUUCCCCUCUCUUCUCCUGCUUCCAAGGGGGGUUUAGUAAUUUUAAAUGAUGGAAAUUUAAUCCUUUACAAACGACUUUCCAGACUCUAGCUUGUAAUGUCUUUGCUUCAAUCUAUUUACAAAAGCGGAAGGCGGACUUCCUGUUUAGACCUUCCCGCUUCGGUGCCAAAUUAAGAAGUUUCAUAGUCCAAUUUUCCGUUCUACUCAUGGGCAGUUGUUUAAAAUCCAAUUGUCCACAGGAAAAAGUCAGCGCUCUCCGGCAACAGCAAUGCAGCUUCACUCUGUGAAAAGAGCAGUCGAUUCGAAGCACCGCGCCGCUCACCCCACGUCGCUCCGGAUCCCCGAAACCAGGUUUCCCCGCGAGUAGGGGAGGCGCAAAAGGUGCCAGCCGAAUCCCACGUCCACAGGCUUCUCCCGCUUGUGGUUUUUGGUGGGUCUCCGCCUCGCCGCGACGGUCCAGACCCUAAUUCUCACGAAGCGGAUUCCUCCCGAUCAGAGGAAAUCCGCCAUUGCCAGAGGCGCUAACCCGGAAGUCCUGUAAACCAAAUCAUUCUUAAACCGGACUGUUUUUUAACCAAGGCACCACUAUAUUUCCCUCUUAAAAUAAGAACAACACAACACCGUCUUUUUGAAAAUAAGAACAAAGUUUUACUCACAUUCAGUUCACGGUGGUAAUCUGAAGGCGGGCUUCAUCUUGUGGUUACAGUUUCAUUGGUAGAGAAAAGGAAGUCUGAGCUAAAUCUCAGACUGGCUUUUUGUGGGCUCCAAAGGAUGAGCCAUGCGCUGGCUGAGCGCCAGGAGCAACAGAGAUCCAGAAGAGAAACUGCGAAAGAGAGAGGGGAAGAUGGCGGCAAGUUCAGCCCCUUUCCUUGGCCAGCGGGGGUCACUCCCAUCUACCUGGUCACACGCAGAGGAAGGUGGCUCCCAACAGGUAGGGCAGGAAGUCCUCCCUGUCUGGAGUCACAUCCCCCUUCGUGUCCAUUCUAGGAAAACCGGGAAUGUGGUACUUGACUGCUCUAGCAAAACACAUCCCACAGGAUCAGAUUCCAACUAAACAUCAGGAAGAACUUUCUGGUGGGAGAGUCGUUGGACAGUGGGACGGGCUCCCUUGGGAGAAGUCGGGUGGCAUCUGCCGGGUGGGAUCCUGCAGCUGCAAUUCCUGCAUUGCAGGGGGGUUGGACUAGAUGACCCCUGAGGUCCCCUUCCAAGGCUACAGUUCUGCGAUUCUAAGUUUCUAGCCCUUUCUGGCAAGCUGCGUUCACACGAGGCCUCCUGGCUCCCCCACUUUGCUUUCCCAGCUGGAUAUUCCGCUACUUGAAAGAAGUGGGAGAAAAAACAAAGAGGUGGGCAGAUGCCAAGAAAAAUCCGCUGCUUCGUUCCAGUCUUCUGGCCUCCCACUUGGCAGCCUUGGAUCCCUCCCUCUGCAUUUUCAUUCCUUUGUUGGUUCUGAAUUAAUGCCACCAUUUACGCUUAAGGAGGCUCUCGGCAGGAUCAGGCCAGCUGAAUCCCCCCCCCCCCGAAAACAACAAAAGUGGGACCCUGCCGGGAAUGCUGGGGGGGCACAGUUGGCAAGGGGCUGGCAGGAGCUCUCAGACUGAGCCCCAUUCCCUCAAAGGGAAUGGCAUGCCAGGUGUGUCUGCUGGUGGGGGGUGGGCUUUGCAGGCUCAUCGCCCCCCCCCGGUCCUCAUGGAACUGGCCACCCUCUGGCUGGGAGACGCUGCCCGCUUGGGCUUGCCCAACGGAAUGGUGCCAUGGCAGCCAGAGCCCGCCAACAAGGGAGGGGAGGGCGCAUGUUCCCACACACUUGUCAUUCCAGGUACACUCGCUGUGUUUGGCAUAAACACUAAUUAUUUCGUUUGCUUGAGAAUGAUUGCAUAAUUACAGAGCAGGAGGUUGGGGGGAGGGAAAAGGAGCAAAGAUGGCGGGAGCCAAGAGGGAGCCUCUGAGAUGGAGCCUCUUCUCCUCCAGCUGCCUUGGGAGCCCCUCGCAGGUGGGAAGGGGAGAAGGAGGAGGGGGCUUCUCUGGGGCCCAUUAGCUCAAAGGGAGCCGGUGGUCCUGAACCCCACGGGUGUGCUCGGCUUCAGGCUGCUCGUCUGCGUGAGAUGCCUCACCCAUCACAGUAUUGCAGAUUUCACCAUUGAUUAAAUGGUUUGUGCCCUUUGCACAAGCCAGUGUGCUUUAUAAUAAUAAUAAUAAUAAUAAUAAUAAUAAUAAUUUAGUAUUUGUACCCCGCCCAUCUGGCUGGGUUUCCCCAGCCACUCUGGGCGGCUUCCAAAAAAGAUUUAAAAUACAUUAAAAUGAAACACAUUAAAAACUUCCCUGAACAGGGCUGCCUUCAGAUGCCAUCUAAAAGUCUGGUAGUUGUUCUCUUUGACAUCUGGUGGGAGGGUGUUCCACAGGGCAGGUGCCACCACCGAGAAGGCCCUCUGCCUGGUUCCCUGUAACUUGGCUUCUCGCAAUGAGGGAACCGCCAGAAGGCCCUUGGCACUGGACCUCAGUGUCCGGGCAGAACGAUGGGGGUGGAGACGCUCCUUCAGGUAUACUGGGCCUUUGAGGCCAUUUAGGGCUUUCAAGGUCAGCACCAACACUUUGAAUUGUGCCCGGAAACGUACUGGGAGCCAGUGUAGGUCUUUCAGGACCGAUGUUAUGUGGUCUCGGCAGCCGCUCCCAGUCACCAGUCCAGCUGCCGCAUUCUGGAUCAGUUGUUGUUUCCGAGUCACCUUCACAGGUAGCCCAACAUAGAGUGCAUGGCAGUAGUCCAAGUGAGAGAUAACUAGAGCAUGCACCACUCUGGUGAGAUAGUCUGUGAGCAGGGAGGGUCUCAUCCUGCAUACCAGGUGGAGCUGGUAGACAGCUGCCCUGGAUAUUACAAAGCAAAUAGAUGAAAUCUCACAAAAAAUGGCACCAUCCUUUAAAAACCAACUCUACACUCCUAUAAUUCUAGGAAAGGCAGACUCUCAAUGUGCAGGGGACUUCCUGGCCUGUUGCUAAGCACACCUGCCGGCCACAGGUGCAUUGCCUCACCUGGCAGGGCAGCUCUUGCCCUGUGCUGCUUCCUGCUCCUCCUCUUCUCCCCUCCAGCCCUUCUCGGAACAAGGAGGCAGAUUUCCCAGCUCCCUCCUGCCAGGAAGCUGAGCCAGCAGAGCCCCCAAGCGCCAGCAGCCAAGCGCUGGUCAGGCCAGCCGGGCAAAGGCACCUCCCGGGAGCUGCUGAGGUGUGGCCAUGAGGGUGAUGAUGAUGGAGGAGAGCUGGAGGAAAGUGGCAGGUGUCCCCUGGAGGAGUGCCGGUUAUGGGAGGGGGAGCUUCUGCAACAGCCUCUUUCUGCCGGCUGCCUUGCCAGGCCCCAGGCGGCUGGCUCUGGGAACGAGUCCGCCGGUUGCCCUUCCAAGUGACGGAAAGACAGUUCUGGGCUGCCAAAUUGCAAACAGAGGGAACUGAAAAUGGCACGGCCAGAAAUUCAACUGGCAGGGGUGGCCGCCAACCUAGAUGACUUUGAAAGAGGCCAAGAGAAAUUCAUCAUUCCUCUUUCAAAGUCAUCUAGGUUGAUGGCCACCCCUGCCAGUUGAAUACCAGGAUGAAGGUCUUGCAGGCUUGCGUGUUGAAGAUGCUGCUUUAUGGAAGCGAGUCAUGGGGAACUUGUACCUGCCAGGAGCGAGGCCUCAAGGCCUCCCACAUACGCUGCGUCAGGAAGGUGUUGGGCAUCACCUGGCAGGACAGAGUCUCAAACAAAGAUGUGCUCUCCCAAGGUCACAUUCCCAGGGUCAGGCAGGAGAGGAACCAACGGAUGAGACAAGGAAAAGUCUUUGCCAUCUGCUUUUAUUCAGUAUUCACAGAGAGGUUUGGAAGAUGGCCUAUCGGAAUAAUGGUGUUGUCCCAAGUGAAUCUCCACCCUGCUCCCUCUCUCCCUUCAUGUGUCAUCACUACGGGUGCUGAGAUGUGUCCUCUGCCUCUGAGCUUUCUGCUCUCCUACUUUCAAGGCCCGCCAGGUUCUGGGAGAUGGAGGUUCUGGAAUGCUUCCUAGAGACACUGUGUCCAUCAGCUGUGGCCCCUCUGGUGCUGCUUCUUCCUCCCCUCCCAUUAUUGCCCGGUUUUUCUCUCAUCUGCCUCUGAGCUGUGACCUCCCUCAAACCCCAGUUGUAAUUCUAAACUGUCUCUUUCUUCUCUGGAAGGGUCAGGCUGAGGAGGCAGUCUCCACCAUUCCUCUGCUGCCCCAGUCCCUGAUAGCCUGUUCACACUCCUGUCCACACUGGCUUGGUCACGUCCACAGAAUGGAAGAUGGCAGGAUCCCCAAGGACAGGACCCAUGGGGCUUCAGGUGUCAAGACCAUUGGCAGGCCAACUCUGUGUCACAAAGAUGGCUGCCAACGUGUCAUGAAGGUUGGCGACAUCAACCCCACUGUGUGGGAUUCCCUUGGAGAUGUAUCCAUGUCAUAUAUCCACAGCAGUGGCCAGAGGAGGAAUGACCACUGGGAGGAGCACAGAGAGAAAUGCCCAGGUGCAUCUGCAGUAACAACUGGACUCCUUCAUCUGCCCCGGCUGCAGCAAAACAUGUCUCUCCCAUAUCGGUCUCUGCAGCCACAGCAGGUGCUGUAACUCUCCAGAGGUUUGGCUUCACCCCCCAAGGCCCACCCCUCCACUGUCUCUUGAGAUAGACAGAUGCCAACGAACCAAGACCUGCAUUGGCUCCCAGGACAUUUCUGAGCACAAUUCAAAGCGUUGGUGCUGACCUUGAAAUCCCUAAAUGGCCUCAAAGGCCCAGCAUCCCUGAAGGAGCAUCUCCACCCCCAUCAUCCAGCCUGGACACUGAGGUCCAACUCCGAGAGCCUUCUGGUGGUUCCCUCAUUGCGAGAACUGAGGUUACAGGGAACCAGGCAGAAGGCCUUCUCGGUGGUGGCUCCCACCUGUGGAACGCCCUCCCAUCAGAUGUCAAGGAGAUAAACAACUACCUGACUUUUAGAAGACAUCUAAAGAGCCCUGUUUAGGGAAGCUUUUAAUGUUUGAUGUAUUUAUCAUGUUUUUAAUAUUCUGUUGAGAGCCGCCCAGAGGAUCAGUCCAUCAAUGGCUCCUCGCCAGGAUGCCUCUGCUGUGUCUCCCCCAUCAGAGGGAGGGAUGGUGCAGAACCCCAGUUGCUGGAGACCCCAGGAGGGGAGGGGGCCCUGCAUUUGUAUCCUGCUUGUAGGGUUCUCCUAAUGGGCCUCUGGCUGGCCACUGGGAGAAGAGGCAUGGCCGGAUCCAGCAGAGAUCUUCUUAUGUUCAGCACCACCAUCCUGUGUCAAGCCCUUUGUGAGGUGGUGGAGCUGGAGAAACCGGCGGUAGACUUUCUUCAUCUUCUUUUUUAAAAAGAAAAGCCAAAAUUUUAUGUUACUUCUUUUUAGAAUAUGGUUUAGAAGAUGAGGUGAAUUUUGGAUGUAAUGGAGAGGUAAAAGAUCUGGAUUAUUAUAAAAGAUGCAGGAGGAAAUGAUUAACAAUAGGGGAGGAGGGAAGUCUAGGAGAUUCUAUGGAAUCUUGUCUUUAUGUUGUAUGUUGGAUACGUGAUUGUAAAACUGUAAUUUGAAAAACCAAAUAAAUAAAUUUUAAAAGGAAUAAGAUGAAAAAAGCUAUACCAGUUAAUAAAUCCACGGAGAAUUAGGAUUACACCCAAACAGUUUCACAAUAUUACAUUAAUCAGGAGUGCUUUGGAGUGAGGGGGGCUCACACAGUUCACCCCCCCCCCCCCCCGGCAAGUUAUUGUGUCUUCCUCCCACUCUCUUCAUGCGCACAAAUCAAUAGACGCAUAUUGAUCCAUAUUGGAGGGGUAUAUCCACCUACUGUCCCCUGGACUCUGCAGGGAAAGCUCAUCAAUGGCAUCCAAGUGAAAAGGAAAAAAGAGAGACUUGGGCAGUUUGUGAGCUCCUGUGCUGCAGAGGAAGGGGGCUGAACCUGUCAACAUCUAGGAUGCCUUGCCAAGGUGACGUUGCCACAGCCUCCUAACUGUGGCCAGGAUUGCCCAAGAGCAGCUCCAGGGACCAAUUCAAAGGGGCUCCAGGCCACCUCUGGGCAGGAUGGGCAAGAGGACCCCCUGGACACAGACUUCCCUGGCUGGCUUCUUCCCAUUGGCUGCUCUGUUGCUAGGCUGCGGAAGUCCUCCUCCAUCCUCCUUGAGAGAGGAAGCUGUUGCUGGCCAGGAGCGGCAUCUGGCAGGGCCUGAAGAGGCUUCCCUCUUGAAUGAAGGAAUCUGAAGGCUGGUUUGGUUUGUUACGGAAAAAUCCUGGGUGCAGAUUUACUCUGCUGCCCAGCUUAUCGGGGUCCCUCCUGGUCAGCAAGAGAAGGAGUCUCCAGCCAAGUUAAAGAAGCAAAACAGCGGUCAGUAGACCUGAUCUUUAUUUGUUGCAACAAGGUUCAAACACACAGGGAGUAGGAACCCCGAGCAUGGGCUUGCGUGAACUUUUAAGACCCCCCCCCCUUCUCAUAAUACAUUUCCAGAUAUGUCAUCGAUUUCUGAAGAUGGGCUUUGUGAACACCUGGCUUUGGCAAAGUCCAUCAAGGGAUAUCUGUUUGGUCCAUUGUUACCUUUUCCCCACUCCCUGGGGAGGGGCAAGGUGAACCCUGUGCCUCAGGGAUUGCAGAGUCAGGGGGAGCCCUGGAUUCUCCUCUUCCAGAGAAGUCAUUAGCUGUUGGAACCAAGGAAAUUUUUGGCAUUAUUUGGAGUUCCUACAGUUUUCUAUACAGUGGUACCUUGGGUUAAGAACUUAAUUCGUUCUGGAGGUCCGUUCUUAACCUGAAACUGUUCUUAACCUGAAGCACCACUUUAGCUAAUGAGGCCUCCUGCUGUCACUGCGCCACUGCCACACGAAUUCUGUUCUCAUCCUGAAGCAAAGUUCUUAACCCGAGGUACUAUUUCUGGGUUAGCGGAGUCUGUAACCUGAAGCGUCUGUAACCCGAGGUACCACUGUAUUGGAUAGUCAGAGGAAACAGUACGAUUCAUGGUAUCUGCUUAUUGAUACAAUUUUAGGGACUGCUUUUCUGAGCCUCUUUGCUGUUGUGCAUGUGUGGUGCAUGUGUCAACGGUCAUUGUCCUGGCCUUAGUUCAAGGCUGUGGUGGGGACUUGGGGUUUUUUUUUGGGGGGGGGGGCGGUUGUUUAGCCAGUGUGGUGUAGUGGUUAAGAGCGGCAGUCUCGUAAUCUGGGGAACCGGGUUCGCGUCUCCGCUCCUCCACAUGCAGCUGCUGGGUGACCUUGGGCCAGUCACACUUCUCUGAAGUGUCUCAGCCCCACUCACCUCACAGAGUGUUUGUUGUGGGGGAGGAAGGGAAAGGAGAAUGUUAGCCGCUUUGAGACUCUUUCAGGUAGUGAUAAAGCGGGAUAUCAAAUCCAAAACUCUUCUUCUCUUAACUGCCCUCCCCAUUCCUGGUUUUAACAGGUUGCUGCCACCUGAUGCAAACCCCUUGGAAGUGGGGGGGGGAGGUCAAGAACAUGAGAGGGUAAGUAGAGCCUGCUGGAUCAGGCCCGUAUUCUUACCGAGCAGAUGCCCAGAAGGGAAGCCCAGAAGGAGGACCAAAGAGCCACAACUAUUGGCCACUGUGAAAAAAGGAUGGGUCUCCUUUGUACUGAUCCAGGACCCAGACCCUUCUUCUGUCCCGAUGGAACCUCCAGGCUAAGAGGCAGUUUAUCUCAAUCUCCAGGUUCCUUGGGGUUUCUGGCCUCUUGGCUAGGUGAGCCAUUGGCCGGAUCCAGCAGGCUCUGCUUCUUCUGUCCUCCUGGCAUGAGGCUCCACUUGUGACAGAGGUGCCAGGGAAGACCCUGAGAUGCUGCGGAAGAAGCAAUUAGCAGCCGUGAGGUUUCUUCCCGCCCUGACUGCAUGUUUUGUCCCUGGCAGCUCUUUCCUAACAAAUCGCUGCGAAGGUUUUGCAACGAGGCUGCUGAGUAAAUCAAUGCUAUGUAAGAGCAAUUUCUCUUCCUCUUCCCCCCCAAUCUCUCAACCAAAUCAGGUUACAAUGACGGCAGGUUGCUGGAAAACUGAAAUUUCCAAAAUAGACUCCCACAUAAAUCUUGUUCAGGCAGCAUGUGAUGAAAACAAAAAUCAAACUUCAGGCUCCAGUCGAUAAACGUGGUUCCCGGCCAGAUGCUGGAGGAUUUUACAAAGUGACAGAGAACGAUAUCAGUGGCUCUGCUCUGCUUCUGAAGACCAGCUGCUGGGGGGUCCCAAGUGGGGGAAAGUGUGCUCAGGUCCCAGGGGCACCUGGCUGGCUCCUCUGAUAAGAGGGUGCUGGACAAGGUCGGUCCCCGUUGGCCUCAUCCAGCAGCCAAGCUCUUCUUAUGGAGGCCCAUUGUGAGAGCAGAACCUCCAGGUCCAGGGACAGUCUACCUCUGAAUACCAGACUACAAUGGGAGAAUACACUUGAACCCGGGGUCUGCUUGUGGGCCACUGGGAAAACAGGACACUGGAACAGAUGAGCCAUUGGCCUGAUCCAGCAGCCAGGCUUUUCUUAUGUUCUUAUGGAGCCUCCAGGUCCAGAGGCAGUCUAUCUGGAUUCCUGGGCUCUUUGGGGCAUUUGGCCACUGGGAGAGCAGGAGGCUGGACAAGAGCGGCCCCCUUUGGCAGCUGACCCAGAAGAUGCUCGCUUGAUGUUACAUGAUGUUCUCCUCUGAGGAAGGGGCCACGGCGGUGUUUGCUGGGAUGCCCCACUCGUCUUCUGUCUGCUUUGAAUCCUCCUUGGCAAGGCAGGCCAUCUCAGGUGGUUUGAUAUUGGACCCACCUGACAAUUCAAUUAAUCCUUUGGGACCUGCUCCUGAAAAUAACUUCGCCCUGAUUUCCCCUUCUACAAAAGGAAAGGCAAGACGCGGAACAAGCCCAGGUGUCAUCUUUCAUUUCGAAUUCAGCCCAGGUAUAUUGGAGGCAGCGGGCACCUGCAUCUCAAUGGAGCUGAUCUCUUAAUUCGGUCCUGUCUCUGGAAGAGGCUCCCUGACGAGAAUGCCAAGCUCUCAGCCCAGCGAAACACGCAGAGCAGGCAGACCCUGGAAAGAGGCUGUGUGGUUGGAAGAGGCUGCUGGAUCCGGCCAGAGGGGACCCACCUAGUCCAGCAUCCUGGUCUCACAGUGGCUCAGUAGAUGCCCAGAUGGGAAACCAGCAAACAGGAGUCAAGAACGGGAGAAACUCCCCCCCCCCCUAUUUUCCAGCAGCUGGGAUUCAGAAGCACUGCUGUUUCAAAUUGAAGAGGCAGAGCACAGCUAUUCUGGCUAGCAGCCAUCCAUAGCCCUCUCCGCCUCCUCCUCCUCCAUGAAUUUGUCUAAUCCUCUUUCGAAGCCGUCCAGGCUAGCAGCCAUCCCUGCCUCAUGUGGCAAUGAGUUCCACACCUUGACCCUGCCCUGACCCUUCCAACAUUCAGCUUCAUCGGAGGUCCCCACUGAGCUCCAGGUUAUGAGAGAGGGAGGAAAUAUUUUCUCUGUCCCCUUUCUCCAGGUCGGGUAUAAAUUUAUAAACCCCCGCCGUGCUGCCUCUCACUCGCCUUUUGCUCCAGACUGAAAACACUGCAGCUGUUCUUCCUGUGGGCCUCUCUCUGCCCCCUUGGGUCAUGGAGGUGGGGUCUUUUUCUGAACCCUUUCCAACUCUGCAUUAUCUUUUUUGAGGGGAGGCACCCAGAACUGGACACAGUUAUUCCAAAUGUGGUUGUGUGGGAUGUGAAACACAAGAGCAGUCAAGUACAACAUUCCUAGAGUGAACAUGUUUAGACAUGGGGAGGGAUGUUUGUCCAGCCAGCAGGUCAACUUCCUGUUUCUCUCUGGGCUGGGGCAGACUUCCUCUGCAUGUGACUAGAGGUGGGCGUUGCCUCACCUGUGCAGGUAAUGACAAAAGCAGAGGACAGGGCAGCCAUCUCUCUCUCUUUCACCACAUGCAUCGGAGGAACAACAUCUACUGAGCGAAAGAUGCCCCCUUGGCUCCCAGCCAAGAGAGGACAAAGGGACUGUCUUCUUAAGAGAUAGAUUCCAAGUGUAUGUUACUUCAUUAAGCUUAAGUCUGCCUUCUGGGAUCUGAUUGUGAACAGAAUGUGAGUAAACUCUUUUUAUACUUUUAUAGAAGACUGUGUCGUCUCUUCUAUUUUAUGAGGGAAUAAAGGGGAAAUUACCAGAAUAGUUAUUAUAGAGGCUUUAGCGAGGCUGAGCAAACACAGCCGUUGCAAACUUAAAAUAAAGGGGAAUGUUUUACUCUGCUGAAAUUGGGGAACUUGUUAACACAAGUUGGAUAAGGAUAUAAUCAGACAAUAUAUCCUCUCCUGCAUCCCUGAACAUUCCCACAGGUUGCACCAUAGACUUGUGAUUCUGGGCUGCUUUGUUUUCAAGUUCCUUCCUAAGGACGCCUAGCAUCAAAUUUGCCACUGUGGAGGUAACGCUCCUCUGUGCUGAGGCACACCUGGCAGCCGGCAUGCCACAGUGUGCCAAGGAGCCUUGCGCCCACGCUCCCUGACCCUUUGCCUUCUUGGCUAGCAAACAGGGUUUCCCCCCUGACCGUUUGUCCUCUCACAGAUUUGGUUACUAGACACAACACUUGGCUGGAGCCUGACGGGGGACGCAGAUGUAAUCAAGUAUCGGGGAAAACAUCUGAGGGAAACACCUGCUGACACGUGUAUUUGCUAACGCUGGAAAUGUGCGUAGAUGGAAAUACGUUAAGUUCAGGGUGGUUUCACUACUGUUUCCAAUUGUUGACUUCUGCUAAUAAAAGGAGCCUUGGCAGAGCUAGCCGGCAGCUUGCUUGGCGCAUGCCUGCCAGCUUGCUCCUGCGCAGCUCACCUGCAUCCAACCUCCCAUCCUCCUCCAUUAUUCCUACAUGCCACGUGUUUAGUUGACACCUCGUUCCAGCUCUCCAUUGCAAGCCGAAGGUCUCAGUCCUGCCGCCACCCAGAGGUGUACUUAGGUUCCUUUGCACCCCUGGCGAGGAGAUGUUGGCUACCCAGAAUCAUAGAUUUGUAGAGUUGGGGACCCCGGGGUCAUCCAGUCCAACCCUUUGCAAUGCAAAAAACGGGUCUUUCCAGGAUCCAAUCAGAAGAUAGGAUGGCUUCUGUAAUUCUGGGAUGUCCCACUCAAAUCGGGACAACUGAGGGGGUAUGGAAAUGCCCCAUCCCAGGGGGCUUAAGGUCUUUCUUGGCUCCAACCCCAUCCUGCUUCCCUCUGCAGCCUGCAAUACUCCCUUCCCACAGCCCUGAGACUGGCCAGGAAGGGACAGACUGAGACAAGCCCUGGGGGCCGGGAAGGGGCAUUGGGUUGCUAAGCGGGGGAGCAUUUGUUUUUUUUUUUUUAAUAUAAUAUUUAUUGAUUUUGCAAAGAAAAAUUCCAAAAGAUGCAAAAAUACAAAAAUUCGACAGACAAAAAACAGCAAUAACAAUGACAAAAAGCAAACAGAGAUAACAAUAUCCAUAACAAAGAAAGAAAAAAGAAAAAAAAGAAAAAAAAGAAACAGAAAAAUUUAAAAAAUAUUAUACUUUCAUUUAACCUUCUUAUCUUUCCCUAGUUCUUUGACUUCCCCGCAUCUCCCCGCUUGUAUUUCCAUUUAAAAACUCCUUUCAGCAAAUCCUUACCCUCCUUUCUUUAUCUUAACUCAAGAAACUUAAUCUAUUUAUAUAUAAAUAUUUUUACAACCUUAUCAAUCAGAUAUUCCAUGCUCUUAAUCACAAGGCUUUUGCCAAUACCAGUUAUUUUCAAUCAGACCUCAAUUUAACAUUCAUUAAUUUUAUAGUAUUUCUGUAAAUAGUCUUUAAAUUUCUUCCAAUCUUCUUCCACCGACUCUUCUCCCUGGUCACGGAUUCUGCCAGUCAUCUCCGCCAGUUCCAUAUACUCGAUUACCUUCAUCUGCCAUUCUUCCAGAGUGGGUAAAUCUUGUGUCUUCCAAUACUUUGCGAUGAGUAUCCUUGCUGCUGCUGUUGCAUACAUAAAGAAAGUUCUAUCUUUCUUUAGCACCAAUUGGCCAACAAUGCCCAAGAGAAAGGCCUCUGGUUUCUUUAGAAAGGUAUACUUAAAUACCUUUUUCAACUCAUUAUAUAUCCUUUCCCAGAAGGCCUUAAUCUUUGGGCACGUCCACCAAAGGUGAAAGAAUGUACCUUCAGUUUCCUUACAUUUCCAACAUUUAUUAUCGGGCAAAUGGUAGAUUUUUGCAAGCUUGACUGGGGUCAUGUACCACCUGUACACCAUUUUCAUUAUAUUCUCUUUUAAAGCAUUACAUGCUGUAAACUUCGUACCUGUGGUCCAUAACCGUUCCCAGUCAGCAAACAUAAUGUUGUGUCCAACAUCCUGUGCCCAUUUGAUCAUAGCAGAUUUUACCGUUUCAUCCUGAGUAUUCCAUUUUAGCAGCAAGUUAUACAUUCUUGAAAGUGUUUUAGUUUUGGGAUCUAACAGUUCUGUUUCCAACUUUGAUUUUUCCACCUGGAAGCCAAUUUUUCUAUCCAAAUUAUAGACCUCUCUUAUUUGGUAGUAAUGCAACCAGUCUCGCACUCUGUCUUUUAAUUUUUCAAAACUCUGCAAUUUGAAUUUAUCUCCUUCUUGUUCCAAGAUCUCCCAAUAUUUUGGCCACUUGGCCUCCAUAUUGGACUUUUUAGGGCCUUUGCCUCCAUUGGUGAUAGCCACCUUGGGGUUUUAUUCUCCAAUAAGUCUUUAUAUCUUAUCCAGACAUUGAACAAUGCUUUCCUGACAAUAUGGUUUUUAAAUAUUUUGUGAGCUUUAACCUUGUCAUACCACAAAUAUGCAUGCCACCCAAACACAUUAUUGAAACCUUCUAAAUCCAAAACAUCAGUAUUUUCCAGAAGUAACCAAUCCUUCAACCAGCAGAAAGCUGCUGAUUCAUAAUAAAGUUUAAAGUCUGGCAGGGCAAAUCCCCCUCUUUCUUUAGCAUCAGUCAAUAUUUUAAAUUUUAUCCUGGGCCUCUUGCCCUGCCAGACAAACUUAGAAAUAUCUCUCUGCCACUUCUUAAAACAGUCCAUUUUGUCUAUUAUUUGUAUCGCUUGAAACAAAAACAGCAUUCUUGGCAAUACAUUCAUCUUGAUGACAGCAAUUCGACCUAACAAGGAAAGCUUCAAGUUUGUCCAUUACCACUGUUAAACCUGUCUCAUUCUGAAACCUCUCUUUUUCAAUCGGUGUUAAAUUCUUCUCAAGUACUUUAGUUUUAAACUUAUUCAGCUUAAAACCUGCCACCUGACCAAACUCUUGAAUCAGUUCUAAUGCUCUUUUCGUACUAGAUUCUGGCUCCUGUAAUGUCAGUACAAGGUCAUCAGCAAAUGCUUUCAGUUUAUAUUGUUUCGCUCCGACCGUGCUAAGCGGGGGAGCAUUUGAUUCUGUUUGUACUUAAAGAGGAACUUACCAAAACUUGUGCUUCCAAAAUCCCCCCAAAUGAACCCAAAUACAGCCCCCACCCCCAUGCGCAAGGCAUUUAUCUGAUUUUUGCAAUGCGUCUCUCUCUCUGGGGCAGGACUGUGCGCAGAAAUGCACCAACCAGGGUGAAACAUGCAUGGGGGGAUGCAUAGAUUACUGAGAAGAGCACACAAUCGAGGCACGACAGGAGGAGGAAGGGCUUUGCAAAAAGGUGUCUGUUAGGCAAAAUGUAUCGAUUGGGAGACAUUAGCAUGACAACGCUGACAAAUUACCUGAAAGUGUGGAGAGCAGGAUUUGCCGCUAGAAAAAUGAGGAGCCAGAGAGAAGAGGAAUUGACAGGUGCUGGUUGCUUCUUGCUUGCUCCUCGGAGACCCUGCUGCCCACCCUUUCAAGCCUCCUGAGACCCACAUCCUGUCAGGACAAGGGGGCGUUGCCCCCUGGCUUUAUCUCUGUGGGAGCCCAGAGAACGGCAAGGUGAGGGCAUCACCUCUGAGCAUCAGGAGGACGCAUGAAAAGGUUGUCCUCCAGGGACCCCAAACAGCAGCAUCAGGAGGAAGCAGCUCUUAUCUCUCUUCUGCAAUGGUCAGAAGCUUUGAGCAGAGGCUCCGAGGGCACAGCCAACAUCUCCUGCUCUUGCGGAGAACAUUUCAGCGGCUGCAGGAGGAAGUCAAAGGCUCUCUCUCUAUAUACUGUGUAUAAAACAGUGGGAGUGAUUGUAACAACAGAUACGAAUUAAAAGAUGGUCAUAAUUGAGAAGAUUAUGUGUAAUUUGAGAGUUCGGCAAGAACUAGAACCUCUAGACUCUUUUUCAAAAUACAAUUUGACGCUCUUUUACGGCUGGCACAGCAGAAGCCUCGUUUUCCGAGACGGGCCUCAUCGCAAACCUGGAAGGAGACUUGCUCAUCUGAUUCUGUGGAUGGGCCUUAUCUGCACCUUGUUUCCUUAACCCAUUCUGUGUGGCGGUUUUAUAGUUUUAGUUUUUCAUCUUUUAGUUUUCAUCUAAAACAGUAUUCUCUGUUUUAUGUACAUUAAAAAAUUAAAAAGAGGAGAAUUAAAAGAUGGAAAGGCAAACUAUAAAACGGGGACACGGGAUGAGUCCAGUUGCACAAAAUAACCAAGCCCAGGUGAAAAAUUUCAGCAUUAUCUGGUUCAUCAAGUCUGGUUCCAGAUGUGCCAGAUUUGCGAUGAGGGUUGUCUGGAGAAUGUAUAUGUCAUAAAGGAAUGCCAAAUUGUAUAAAAAGCACUUGGGGUUUAGUCCCUGUCAAAAUCUCAAAUUAUGUGCAAUUUUCUCAAUUGUAGCUCUGUUUCUAUUUAGUUUCUGCGUCUUUAUUUUUAGAUCUACUUUCCCAGAUUGACAAGCUGCACCUGCUCCUCAAUUCCCCCUACAGCUUGUGCAGAAACUGCCUUCUUCUUCUUCUUCUUCAUCAUCAUCAUCAUCAUCAUCAUCAUCUAGUCCUGAUUCCACGUCCACUCUGGGCAGCUUCCAACAGGAUAUUAAAAACACAAUAAAACAUCCAACUUCACCGCUGGACCCACAACUGAUCUUGCCUUCUUCAUCCACCUUAGCCUGUCUUCGCAUGCAGGAGAAGCCCCUAAUGCACGUGGGGGUUGAGACCCAUUGGUUCCCCUCACCCGGUUUAGCUGGCCAGCUGAAGCUGCUCCCUGGAGCAGAAAGUGCAGCCGUGAAUCAACACUGCCAGAACAGCCAUAUCUGAACUUUGUGAAUGCUUCUCUGAUUCUGUCGAAAAAGCUCUGCUGUGUGGGAAUGUUCAGGGAGGCAGGAGAGGAUAUAUUGUUUAUUAAUAUCCUUCCUAACUUGUGCUAGCAAGUUCCUUUACUUAGCAGAGUUUCACAUUCCCCUUUUAAACGCACAGCAGGCAGCUGGUUGCAGGCUUGUGUAAGCCUCUCACUGUUAAGUUCCUGGCAAGUUCCCUUAUAUCCCCCUAAAAAGAAUAAACACGCCACAAACUUGUGUCAAGUAUAUAAAAUAGGUUUACUCAGUUCACAGUUGGAUCCCUGAAGGCUGACUUAGUUACAAAGGAUAUACAUAUGGAUCUAUCCCAUAUGGGGAUAAUAUGGAAGCCAACAGAGCAUCUCUAGCUAAAUAAUAAUAAUAAUAAUAAUAAUAAUAAUAAUAAUAAAUUUUUUUUAUUUUAUUUAUAUCCCACCCUCCCCAGCCGAAGCUGGGCUCAGAGCGGCUAACAUCAAAUGUAUAACACAUUAACAUAAAAUCAAUCAAUUAAAAUACAUCCUCAAAUCAGGAUCAGAAUAAAAUCCAAUCAGAUGGCAACCCGCAGAUUAGGGUUGGGGACCUUAAAUGCUCACCAGGCCCAACUGUUUGUGCUGAACUUAUAUGGGCCUGUGAGAAAAAUUGGGAGGCCACUUUCAUGCAAGUUCUUAUGAAAGGGGAGGGGGAGUCAGACUGAACACCGACCAAAGGCCUGGCAGAACAGCUCUGUCUUGCAGGCCCUGCGGAAAGAUGUCAAGUCCUGCAGGGCCCUAGUCUCUUGGGACAGAGCGUUCCACCAGAUCAGAGCCACAGCCGAGAAAGCCCUGGCUCUAGUUGAGGCCAGCCUAACUUCUCUGUGGCCUGGGACCUUCAGGAUGUUUUUAUUUGAAGACCGUAAGUUCCUCUGUGGGACAUACCAGGAGAGGCGGUCCCAGAGGUACGAGGUUCCUAGGCCAUAUAGGGCUUUAAAGGUUAAAACCAGCACCUUAAACCUGAUCCUGUACCCCACCGGGAGCCAGUGCAGCUGGUAUAGCACCGGGUGAAAAGUUGCUCCAACGACAGAGGAAGUAAAAAACAGAAAGAGUGCUGUGUGGCUGUUCCUUUUGUUACCUGGACAGGUACGGUCACGCCCACCUCUAGUCACAUGCAAAGAAAGUACGGUAUGUCCCAGCCAGGAGGAAAUAGGAAGUUUUUGACUGGCUGGACCAAACAUCCCCUUGCAUGUCCCCUCUAGGAAAACAAGGAAUGUUGUACUUUACUACUUACAUAUCACAUCCCAAAUGCUGAACUGUCCCAGAGAUAUCAUUGAAGCAAGGUGAACACAAAAGAGGUGAACUACGACACAGCUAGGUCCUCCUUUGGCAAAAGUGAGCAACAGAUCCCCGAGUAGUUUGAGGCUGGCAUAAAGGACCCGGAGCCUGUUAUUGCUUGCAAAGCACGAGUCUCUUGUGAACUACAAUCGUGCACCCUGCAAAAAGACACUUGCUGCACUGAGGAAGGCAAGGAGCAACGCCCAGUGGAUUGCCAGGUGCCAUGCCAGGGACCGCUAGCUAAAGCUGUGUCAGAGCAUCCAACUCACUGCUGACCCUGGCAAAAUGCACAAGGCUUUUGGACCAGCAGUCAGGAAACCUUGUCGGGAGAGACCAUCACAGACUGCAGCAAGCAGACGAAGUGAUGGGCAAAGCACUAUCAAGAACUGAAUUUGAAGGAAAACAUGGUCUCUGACACUGCAAUUGACUGCAUCCAGACUCUGCCUGUCUGGGAAGAGAUUGGUGAGCCAUCAACUCUCAGGCAAAGUCUCAGGACAGGACACAAUCCCAACAGAAGUGCUGAAAGCCAGCUUCAAUUCCUCCCUCACGACGCACCUCCAAAGCCGCCUCUUGUAGUGAUGGGAACAAGAAGCUGAGCCACAAGAUUCCAGCAUUGUGACCCUCUCCAAGAACAAAGGUGACGGCCAUGACUGAAACGGUCAUGAAAUUCUACUCAAUAUUGAUCCAGAGCAGAACUCUGACAUAUAGUUAGCAGAGUAAAAACUUAAACACAUUGCAGGAUUCCCCAAAAAUAGACCAGAGGCAAUUCUAUUUCAGCCAGCAGAGCUUUACUGCUACUGAAGGCAAAGGAGUGUAAUGGUCACAAAUCCAAAACAUUCAAGGUUAGCCCUGUCCAUAAGAAAUCCACUUGCAGCAGACUUAACUUAAACUUGCCAUAACUUAUAAUAAGACUAAACCUUUGCACUAAGCAUACUAUGUACAGAACACCAAAAGGAAAAGAGAUAGAAAGAGAAAGUGAACCUCAGGCUCCUUCUGGCCUCUUCUUAUAGUCAGCAUGACCUUGACAGAAGAGAUGACAGAACCAGGUUAAGCCAGCUGUACUCAGCUUUUCUGAAGGAAUAACCCAAACAUCAGGAACCUUCUGCUUGCUUCUUUCAAACAGAGAAGCUUCCAGAACCCUCUUGAAUUUAUUAGAAUCGGAAAGAUCUCUACACAUCAGAUCAAUACUUUCUGUACUAAGAAAUGCAAAGCGACAAAAACAACUACUGCAGGAUCAUCCCUGCUGAGUACCAUGAGGCAGGAGCGUAUGAAGGGGGGUGCGGGGGUGUGGACCACCCCGGGUGUCACCCUGACAGGGGGUGACAAAAUGGAGAGCAGCACUCGUCACCGUGCGGCCUGCAGUGUGCACGAGCCAUGCGUCUCGUUGCCCACAGGCUCCACGCUGUCUGCCCGCUACCUCCCCCCCCAGCUGUCGGGAGGCUGAGGCCCCACUGUGUGCCCAGUCUCGUCCCAUAUGGGCACCAUGCGCCCCGUGCCAUCCCUAUGGGUGCUGCUUGCCCUGUGGCAUGUGGUGUCCAUAGGAACAGGACGGCACUGUCAGGAGCUCGUCCUACACUCAAGUAGGACCCUGGCAUUGACACAUGCCCGACUGGCAUGUUCUCUCCCUCCUGGUCGAUUGUUCAGGAGCUUCAAAAGCUUUCUUCAUCCCGAACAUCACAGCGACUGAUGCCAACAGACAUUGGCACACUUAGGGAUCUGCAGAGUUUGCGCAGCAUGCAUGACAGACUCUCAGUAACUCAGCAUUUUGGCUAAUCUACUUUAUUUGCAUAUAAACAUACACGGAGCACUGCAACAUGGCUCCCUCUCUCUCUAGCAUCAGACAACAAAGAGAGAGGACAAAGGACAAUAGUCCCACUUCACGGAACACAGGAACACAAACAUCCUGUCUCCGUCACUUCCCACUCUGGGGAGUCAAAACAUACACCAUCAUGCAAUGGCGUAGCGUGGGGGGUGCAGGGGGGGCCGGCCACACCGGGCGCAACAUCUGGGGGGGCGCGCUCGCACUCGCAGCUCUCUGCUCACUCACCUGGCUCACUCACUCUCUCUCAGUUAGGGGGCGCAAAUUACUUGCCUUGCCCCGGGUGCUGACAACCCACACUACGCCACUGCCAUCAUGUGAUAGACAAAAAUCCCAUGACUGCAAUCAUGGAGCAGGAAUUCUAAUAGGCAUGUGGAGUCCAUAGGGACGGGGCGCCGGGGCGCUCAUAGGGACAGCAUGGGAUGCCAUGUGCCCCAUUCCGCCCCUAUGUGCGCCACACCUCCUGCCCUAUGGGUGGUUUGCCCUGCCCCUGGGCAUGCUGCCCCAGGUCCCCGAGAGCCUUCCUCCUCUGCUGCCAUGGGGAAAGCCUUUGCCUCUGUAGUUCCCAACAGAUUACAGUCCCUCGCUGACAGGGCCUAUCCCGAGUCACAACACGGCUUUAGAGCUCAGAUGUCGACAGUAGACAUGAUCUUCUGACUGCGCCAGCUGCAGGAGAAAUGCCGAGAGCAGAGAAAUCAGGUGGACAUCACCUUCCUGGAUGUGACAAGGGCCUUUGACUUCGUCAGCUGAAAAGGACUCUUCACACUGCAGCACAAGAUAGGAUGCCCACCUAAGCGCCACGUUGAUGGUGGUGUCCUCCCACAAGAACAUGCGCAGCACCCUCCAUAUGACGGCUCAACCUCGGACGCCUUCCCUCCAAAGAGUGGUGUGAAACAGGGCUGGGGUCUUCUUGGCCCAGCUCUCCUUGUUCCUCUGAUGUGCCUCCAGCCUGACUGAAGAUGGUUUGCACCUCCCUACAAGGAGCAACGGGGGGCUGUUCCACCUGGAACGUCUCCAUGCCAAGACUAAAAUGCAGCGGGUCCUUAUCCAAGAGAUGCUGUUUGCAGAUGACCCAGCCUUGACAUGGCAAUGCAAGGAAGCCUACAGAGACUCAUCAACCGUUUUGCCCAAGCCUGAAGGGAGUUUGGCCUAGCUAUCCACCUGACAUCAUGGGCCAGGACAUGGCCAGCACUCCAUGCUUCAGCACUGGUGAUCACAGGCUUGAGGUGGUGGGCAAUUUUGUCUGCCUGGGUUCCACCAUAACCAGAAACCUCUCCAUUAACAUUCAGCUGGACGAGCGUAUUGGCAAGGCAGCCAUGGCAAUGACUCACCUCUCCAGAAUGUGAUGCUAACAACCAAGAACAAGGUGAAGAUCUAUCAGGUUUGCAUGUUGAAGAAGGAGCAAGCUUGCUUUCUCCUGCUCCAGAGGGUAGGACUCAAACCAAGGACUAUUCCAUGAUGGAACCGUGGACUCUCCUUCCUGGGCGGUUGUUGCGUUUGCAAAGUAAAGGAAGGAUUGAACUCUGAUUCAUAAGAAUACACACAGAGGCUUGAACCAGCAAGACUCUGGGAAGGGUGCGUAUAAUUGUGUCUCUCUGUGCUUGUCCGUUUGCAGCCCCCUCGCCCAGGUAGUUUUUAUUCACAAAAGAGCUUUUUACAGAGUGUUUGUAAGAACCAAUCAGAUUUCUUCUGAGCAUUUCCACAAACCCAGGUGGGGAGAAAGCUAAUCUAUAAACACUAGUUAUCCAUGCAUACUUUGGGGGUAAAUAAGUUGAGAACUACAAAGGGGAGCAUCUGGCAACCCCGGAGGUAAUAAACAAGCAAUACACAUGAUAAGGAGGAUGGCCAGGAGGACAGCGGAUCAUUAUCACCUUCAUGUGAGAUCUGUUUCCUGGCCCUAAGAUUAACAUCCUAAGAUUACCUAUUAGAAAACUACAAAGACGAAACUGCCCAGUCUUUGAGGACACAGGACGCCUGCCUGUCUAAGUGUGUACGUGAUUCGUGAAAAGCAAGGAGAAAUGGGCAGCAGAGGCCAAAGGGCAUGGAAAGGACACGAAUGUAGAAUCUUAUGGGAUUUAAUCAGAAAUUAUCGUCAAUAUAUCAAACCCAGUCAACACAAUGCUUUCAUCGUGGACACAAUGGCUUGAUGUAUAUUUUAUAAUUCCUCUUGGUAAUCCCAUCUGACCCCUACAGGCGGUUUCUUAGCAGAGGUUGGGUGGCCAUCUGUCAUGGAUGCUUUAGCUGAGAUUCCAGCAUUGCUGGGGGUUGGACUAGAUGACUCUUGGGGAUCCCUUGCAAUUCUACGAUUCUAUGACUAUUUGAGCUGCUGAGAUCAUAUUGCUAUGAGUUUGUGGGCGCCUUGACUCCCCUGAAUUCCUGGGUCUGGUGGUUUCUGGAGUUUAAUCAAUGCUUGGAGUAUGAAGAUGGGCUGACAGGCGCUAAAUUUAGCAGUGUCAAAACACAGGCCCAACCAGUUUUUCUGUGCUCAGAAUCUCGCCUACAAGAAGAAGAAAAGGAAGGUAAUGCAUAAAAGGAAGGUAAUGGGUGAUUAGCAAAGCAGAUACAACAGAUGGGUGUGAGCCCCUCCUUCCACGAAACUCUUCCAUGGAGACAGAGAGAGAGAGAGAGCAGAGGAAAAGUGUCCAUUUGUAAAAUGCAGGAAGCUGGAGCUGAAGGACAGAUAGCAUUGCCUGAUUCCUGCUGGCAUCCCAGACUGUGGCCAUGGGAGAAGCAAGACUCUCUUAGAGUGCUAAUGCUGUGAGCCCUUCCAUCCUAGGCUCAAGCUGUAUAUCUGUGUAAAUAAACCAUAUAUGCUAAAGACACCACAGUCUCCGCUGAGCCUCGCUCCCAAAAGGGAACACCACCGCUGAGUAAAGUGCCUGGAACCCUCUGGAGGUUGGAGUGGCAGGUGAAAAUGUGUAAAGACUGGUUCUUUCGACAAUGCAUCUCUCUUGGUCUCAUCAAAAAUAUCCAGUAACAUUGUUUUGGACAACAAGCAACAGGGGCUGCCUGAAGAUGUGAGCCUCCUUCAGAAAGGGGUUCCCCUCAAGGCCAAAGAGCCAAAGCUGCCCACUUUGUGACACCCUGAGCCAGUGACAGGCUGACCGUCUCUCCCAGGAGGAGGUGCUGAGCCUGCUUCUUGCUGUGGGGUGGUGGAGAAAUGGGAGGGGGCACUGGCUGGGUGCAAGAGAGAGAAGAGGGAUCCAGGGAUGGUGGGAGGCAGAGGGGCAAAUGUCUGGGUGAUGGGGAGACCUGGAGGCAACCAACAUGGGUCUGGUCAGGUGGGGCAGGUGGGUUUCUGUGGAAGAGAAUCCUUGUCUGGAUGGCUGGAGCGGCUGCCUCAAGGAAGAAUUGGAAGGAGUCAAGCCCAUGAUUCUAAGAGCCCCAGAAGAGCCCCAAAGCAGCAGAUGGAUCAGGCCAAACGGCGGCCGUCAGUUCCAGGAUCCUGUUUCCCAUUGUUGCAGGAAACACCCCCCCCAAUCAUUCAGUUUGUACAACACACACACUCACACACACACAUGACAUACGCGACGUUUCUGUUAUAAAUUCAUAGAAAAUCAGCUGUACAUCGGAUCUCUAGUGUUCCACUUUUAUUUUACACCAUGAAGGAAGGACUAUCAAAGGGGGGAGACUUGACACAAGGCAGCCAACACGUCCGCAGGGAGCCCUACCCAGUUGGCAUGCCAACCUUGAUGGUCCUAGACAGAAGAUCAUUCCACUCACAAAGGGCCUGCAUAUGGAAGUGGAUUCAGUACGACUGAAACACAGGACAGUGACCAGCCCUUCCCUCUGGGGGCAGGAAACAGUGAACUCCUCUUUGUCCUCAGGAAUGUAAUCAUGGGAAGGAGAAAGGAGGAACCGGACAGGUGGCAAGACACUCAGGUUACCACCACAACUCCUCCCUGAACCCCUCCUCUUUGUGAUGUGUCAAUGAUGUAGUCAUGAUGUAGUUAUGAUGUAGUCUUGGGGGUGUAGCGUGGGGGAUUAGCAGCUAAUAAAAGUUUGGGGUCUACUUUUGUUUAGGGCUUCCAUCUUGUUCUACCUGGUGGCAGGUGGGAGUCCUGUGGCGACAGUCUUCAAUCAAGACCAAGCCUACUGGCUGCUGUUUUGCUCUGGUAUUCCUGGCUGGUGUCCUUGUUUUUUUUUUUUUUGUCCAAGGAAGCUCUCAGAUUUCUCCGUUAACAGCAUUGUGGCCAGCCAGGAAAGCCCACAGGCAGGAGCAAGCUUGUUUUCUCCUGCACCGGAGGGCAGGACUCGAAUACAUGGCUUCAAGUUGCAAGAAAGGGGGUUCGGACUAAACACCAAGAAGAACCUUCUGAAGGAAAGAGCUGUAGAACAGACGCCCUUGGGAGGUGGUGGACUCUCCUUCCUUGGAGGCUUUUAGGUCGAUAGUCAUCUGUCAGGGAUUCUUGAGCUGUGAUUCCUGCAUUGCAGGGGUUGGACUAGAUGACCCUAGGGUCCCUUCCAACUCUAAAGCUGUAUGAACCCAUCAUACGGUAUACCUGAAGGAGCGUCUCCACCCCCAUCGUUCUACCCGGACACUGAGGUCCAGCUCCGAGGGCCUUCUGGCAGUUCCCUCACUGCGAGAAGCCAAGUUACAGGGAACCAGGCAGAGGGCCUUCUCAGUGGUGGCACCCACCCUGUGGAACAUCCUCUCACCAGAUGUCAAAGAGAAGAACAACUACCAGACUUUUAGAAGACAUCUCAAGGCAGCCCUGAUUAGGGAAGCUUUUAAUGUUUAACAGAUCACUGUAUUUUAAUACUUUGUUGGAAGACACCCAGAGUGGCUGGGGAAACCCAGCCAGAUGGACAGGAUAUAAAUAUAUUAUUAUUAUUAUUAUUAUUAUUAUUAUUAUUAUUACCAUCAUCAUCAUCUUCAUCAUCAUCACCAUCAUCUUCAUCAUUAUCAUCACGGUGCCAGGUCUUCUGCUCUUCCCCGUUGGGCACAGAGUGCUCUGCCCAGCACCAGGCCUUUCUGUGCCCAGUUCUCUCAUGUUCCGUUUUCCUAGUUGCCCUCCUACAGAUGUUGCGGGGGGGGGCACGGACCCAGCACAGUGUAUUCCAAAAAACAUUAAACAGUAGCUUCAGAAAGCAAACCAUUAUCCUCCCUUGGCAAUGCUUCUUUGGGUUAUUUAUUUUAUUUAUACCUAAGUUUCUACGGCGCUCCUCAGCUCCCCAGGGUUUCCCAGAAUGCCUCACAAAUUAUUAGAAACAGAAAGGAUGACGAUGGAGCGCUAGAAUGGCAGAACAAGGGGGACCCAGCGAGGAAGGGCGAGACCCAAGCCAAAAGGGAGCCAGCCAAACAAUUAACCCAGAGCAAGCAAUGGAAGCGCCAUUGGACCAAGAGAUCCGAUGCUGAUUUGGUCCAGUUACGCAGAGCAGAGAUAGGAGAUGUCGCUCCUGUAUUUGCAGAACAGCUGUCAGAGAUAUUCAUAGAAUCAUAGAAUCAUAGAAUCAUAGAAUCAUGGAGUUGGAAGAGACCACAAGGGCCAUCGAGUCCAACCCCCUGCCAAGCAGGAAACACCAUCAGAGCACUCCUGACAUAUGGUUGUUCCUGAGGCUGUUCAGCCCAGGAUGGGGAGCAGACCGUGAAGAAAGGCUGCUCUGUCUUCCAUGUGAAAGCCCUUCAGAUAUUGGGAGAUGGCUAUCAUAUCACAUCUCAGGGCUUAGCCACAAUACUACUACUCCUUUAUUACUUAUAUCCCAGCCACUCUGGGUGGCUUCCAACGGAAGAUUAAAAAUACAUUAGAACAUCAGUCAUUAAAAGCUUCCCUAAACAAGGCUGCCUUCAGAUGUCUUCUAAAUGUCAGAUAGUCGUUGAUUUCCUUGACAUCUGGUGGGAGGGCAUUCCACAGGGCAGGCGCCACCACCAAGAAGGCCCUCUGCCUCGUUCCCUGUAGCUUCACUUCUUGCAAUGAGGGAACCGCCAGAAGGCCCUUGGCGCUGGACCUAAGUGUCCAGGCAGAACGAUGGGGGUGGAGAUGCUCCUUCAGGUCUACUGGACCGUUGAGGCCGUUUAGGGCUUUCAAGGUCAGCACUUUUGCCCUGCUCUUUCCAGGCACUGGUCCGAGCUCAAAUGCACCAUGUCCAAGCGUUGCUUCUUUGCCCCGGAGGUUCCCCUGCGGAAAACACUCUUUAAUGCUCAAUCAGAGCCAACGUCAAUGUAGAUUUCCUGUGUAUUGAUUACCAUUUGCUCUGAUUGAGCUUUAAAAGGCAGGUUUUUGUGGGGAAAGCUCGGGGUGUGUGUGUGUGUGGAGGCACUCAGACAUGGUGUGGUCUGACCAAGGCAGAAGAGAGUGUUACUCUGACUUCCCUUGAUUGGGACACUAGACUUCAUGCAGCCUAGAAUAGCAUUCAUGUUUUUUGCUGCUGCAACACACUGGUGUCUCCUGUUAAGUUUGUGUCCCACCAAGACAGAGCAUAGCUGUCAACUUUUCCCUUUUCUUGCGAGGAAUCCUAUUUGGAAUAAGGGAAUUUCCCUUUAAAAAAGGGAAACGUUGACAGCUAUGCCUAGAUCUUUUCCACAAUUACUGCUAGUAUGCCAUAAGUACUGCUGGCUGCCCCUCCCAGCUUCAUGAAUGAGAAGCCCUGCUCCCCACCUCAAAUAAACUCUGCUGGCAACUGGGGCUGAGUCCCUGUUCCUGCUCUCCAGAACCCACUGAGCUCAUUACUCUUGGACUUGAAUGCGUUAUGCAAAGUGGUUUCCACUCCCCUGAGGAGCUGUGAGCAAAAACCAUCUUUCCAAAGUUGAGCUGAAAUAAUCAAGGGUUUUCAAAUUCAUGAAUCAAAGAGGCAUGCUUGUUUCCUCUGGCAAAUACUUGAAUCCAAAUUUAUGGCCUUCAAGAAUCUCAGUCACCUUCCCUGCCUCUGACUAAUUUGCUUGUUUUGCUUUUCACAAUCUGCAAUUCAUAAUCUGGGAAUUUGCAGUUUAAUAAUUCACACUUUGUGAAUCUGCAAUCUCCUUUCUUAAAAAAACAAAAAUUAGGUAAUGAAAGAGCCACGAGGCUCCCAAAGGUUUGUGCUAAAGCUGAACCUUUUCGCAACCACCAAAACCUGCUGUCAGGUCGUGAUAAUCCUAAACUCAGAAAUCUGACCCACAGAAACCCACAAAUGCAGCAACCAGAACAGGAAUGAGAGUUGUCUAAUCUCUAAAUUUCUAAAUAGAAAAGACAGGCUCGGUCUUGAUCAUCUGGGUUGUCACUGCAGACAAAUAUCCCUGGGAAGAGCAGGAAGGCGGGUUCUCUACUUCACUCACCUAGACUACAUCCAGACCCCUGCUGUGGAGCUUCUGGGGGUCAUCAGUGGCUGCCAGCUCAGAUAGAGAGUGGGGGGAGGGGGAGGAAAUAAAUGAUAGGAUCAUAGAACUGUAGAGCUGGGGGACCCCAACGGUCAUCUAGCCCAACCCCCUGCAAUGCAGGAAUCACAGCUAAAACAUCAGAAACCUGAUCCUAAUAUUUAGUCAAAAACUCCUUAUCAUUUGAAUCCAUGGAUUUAGGAUCUCCUAUCUGGAGCAGCAGAAAACAAGCUUGCUCCAUACAGCAGCCCUUUUGGUAUCUGAAGAUGGCUUUCAUGUCCAGGCUGAACAUAUCCAAGCUCCUUCAACCAUUCCUCAUCAGGCUUGGUUUCCAGACCCUGGAUCAUCUUGGUCGCCCUCCUCUGCCCACCUUCCAGCUUGUCAACAUCCUUCUUAAAUUGUGAUGCCCAGAACUGGACACAGUGUUCCAGGUGUGGUCUGACCAAGGCAGAAUAGAGUGGGACUCUUACUUCCCUUGAUCUGGACACUAGACUUCUAGUAUUUGGGCUUUUUUUGCUGCUGCCUCACCCUGUGGACUCAUCUUCAGCUUGUGGUCCACCAAGACCCCAGAUCCUUUCCACAUGUCCUGCUAGUGAGCCAGGUGCCCCCCAUCCUAUAUUGGUGCAGCUGGUUUCUUCUGCCUAAGUGCAGAACUUUACA